This 84768-nucleotide long non-coding RNA is filed under the name Citrus x clementina. Its description in RNAcentral is "Citrus clementina (C. clementina) long non-coding RNA (CCLE_LNC001105)". Lineage: Eukaryota; Viridiplantae; Streptophyta; Magnoliopsida; Sapindales; Rutaceae. The record is from RNAcentral.
CUCUGCAUUCAAAAUAACCAAGUAUAUAUGAGUAAGGGAUUUUGCAAUUUAAUAAAUUUGUAAAUUUUAAACUGUGGUAAAAGUCCAUUAUGCAUUUUAUUAAAGAGCUGAAUUCCUUAUUCGAAACCCAAUAUGUGUAUAACAAACAGAAGCUUGAGUAACGGACAUCAUUUAGAAGUAAUAUACUUACAUUGUUCCCACAACUUGUUCUGUAUUCGCUUCAAGACUCUCUUUUGCAAAAAUCCUAGCCAUACCAAAAUCUGAAAUUUUAGGUUUCAUAUCUUCACUUAACAAAACAUUACUGGCUUUCAAGUCUCGAUGGAUAAUAGUCAGUCUUGAGUAUUCUUGGAGGUAUAAAAGUCCUUGAGUUAUCCCUUCAAUGAUGUGAGCACGUUUUUUCCAAUCCAAAAUAAACCUUCUGAUGGGAUCUACAACAAAUAUAUAGUUUUGGACAAUAAAUGAUAUGCAAAUAAAUUAUAUACACGAUUACUAUUAACUUGAUUCCAGAACAAACCAAAAAGGUAGCAAUCCAAGCUUUUGUUUGGCAUGUACUCGUAGAUCAGCAUCCGUUCUUCAUUGUCAAUGCAAAAACCUAAAACUCUGAUAAGAUUUACAUGUUGGAGUUUUGCAGUAAGCAUAACCUCAUUCUUGAACUCCUCAAAUCCCUGUGUCGAUGUUUUUGAGAGUUUCUUCACUGCUAUCACCUCUCCACAGGGUAACACACCCUGCAACGCAAAAAAAAUCACGUUCAUAUAAAGCUUUCACUAAUUAGAUAAGCUGGGAAAUGUUAGUCAAACAAUAUGUUACCCUCCAAAGUUGAGGGCACCAUUUUAAGUUCUUUAAGUCCCCAUGGACGCAAAAUGUUAAGCUCCUCUUACGGAAUAUGGAUAUGGGUAGAGAUAUCUUCCUAAUAGGCGUAGAUUUUUAAAUUUUAUGUUUUGGGCCUCUGAAUUUUACUACGAGUGUAUAAAUUCAAACUUCCGAUAGGAUCCAAAUUGUAGCAUUGUGGAUUGUAACAAAUUACUAUGUAUGUACACACACACACAUAUAUAUUACCUUGUAAACAGGACCAUAUCCACCCUCCCCAAGCUUAUUUCUAACUGAAAAUCUCUCGGUGGCCGCCUCAAUAUCAGCCAAACUAUAUACUCUGAGGUUAGGAACAUUUCUGUUAAAGUCUCCAGCUUCUGCUUCGUCAUUUGCUCUCGUGUUUGAUGCUUUAGGAGAGUCCUCUGUUCCUAACAUCAACCAAGAGUAAAUAUUAGAUAAUUAAUUAAAUGUCAGUCUUAGUUACAUGUAUAUGAAUGAAAUACAUUCUUAAUUAUAAUUGAUAGCUGAAACUUGUCACCUUCAAUUAACUUGAGCCUUUUCAUCCUGUUGUAUUUAUAUGCACAAAAGCCUAGAAGGAGUGUCAAAGCUGCCGCUGCGGUCAAAAUGAGCGCCGAGGAUAGACGCCGCUUAUUACUAUGUUCAUCUUUUUCAGCUGAAGCAGAAGUAAUCCUGUCUUUUUGUGCUGGAAAUAUGUAUAGUUCACCAAUUAAUAAUAACUAGCUAGAGAUACCAUAACAAUCAUUAUUAAUCAGAGAGAACAAUUAUUGCAUAGAUAAAUACCUGCAGCCUGAGAAAGCACCCAAUUAUGAUCAUCAUAAUCAACUCGCCACACAUAGUAACCAAGCAAUCUCUUCUCUUUGGUAUAGGCAAUCUUAGCUCUAACAGCCUCCACAUCAUCAAAGCCAAACCAAAUCUUCCCAAUCGAGCAGUAAUUCACCACAUAAGUUGAAUUGUACAUAACUUGAACAUUAGGACCAUAGGUCUUGAUGCGAUUCUUGAUUUCCUUAUAAGUCACAACGCCGUUAUCAUGCAAAGCUGGUCCUGUUGCUGCUGCACCAAUACCAUUGUCCUCUGGUUUCACAAGCGUCCAUGCAUAGCCAUAGAAAGGCAAAGACAUAACCAACUUAUCUGCCGAUAACCCUCUCUGUAUCCAUGCCUUUAAAACCUGAUCGGUACUUUUAGCAAAGCCGCCGCUACUUGAGCCAUGGAGAGCCGCAGGUGGCGCAGUGAAGUUUGUUGACAAAGGCUUGUAGUAGUUAGCAGUAACUGCAUGAACCCAAUUCAAGUUUCGUUGCAUCGAAUUCAAAAGAUAUGAAUUCGCUGGUGGUGAAUAACGAAAUCUUGCGGUCAAAAUCAGCGGGGAUUGCUGGCGACUAGAGUUUUUUGCCUCUAAUUUUGUAGCAGCAAUUCGCCACUCGUCAAAAAGUAAACCAAUAUUGAACAUAUCGGUGCUUGUGUUAGGAGCUGUCCAAGCAAAGUCUAGGCCCUGAAAGCCAUAAAGCCUAGCCAUUCUUAUUGAAGAGUCGAUGAAAGAUUCUCUGUGAGAAGAAUUUCUCACCAUUGAAGAAUAAAUAGAAUAGUUUGUAUCCAUUCCUUGUCCAAUGGAGAGAAGUAUAGUGAUUGAUGGGUUCUUUUUUUUCACAGUGUCUGCGAAUUUGGCGAUUUGAUUUUCAUCGGACGGUAAUGAUAAAGAUAGCUGGUAAGUGGUGGAAUUGAUAUCAGCAGAAGAGCAAAUAAGGUGAGUGAAGAGAUCAUAAUUUAUGCCCGAAAUGGUGGACACUUCGCUUAGAUUCAAGUAACCGACCCUAAUCCACGGUUUUGCUUUCGCGGGAUGAAGUUCUGAAUAGAGCAACGCGUGGAAGAUGAUGCUGAUAAUUAUGGAUGCCAUUUGAGACUUUGUUAGGAAUGGAAAUGGAUCCACAGGAGAGAAAUUAAAUAAACACUAGUUUCACAGUUCAUUUGAGUUCUUAUGUAAACUAUUAACGCAUAGGUUCAUUUCGUUCCAAAAAAAUCUUAUGUGCUCCUGAUAGGGACACAUACAUUGCAUGUUAAGAUGAUGAUAGGCUGAGAACUAAGAUUUUCUUCCAUCGCUUGGGUGACCUUUCAUGAAGAAAAAUGAUGUUUUGAUUUGCAUUUGGUUAAACUGAUGACAUAUUUCGGGCAAUAAAUAUCAGUAUUGUUUUAUUAAAUAAUAAAAAAAUUAAUUUUACAUGUACGUUGAAAGUUAAUAACUUAAUAUUGCAGUCUUUUGAGCCUGUGUUGACGUUUAUUCGGGUGUAUUCGUUUAUUAUAUAUUCCCGUUUUUCUCCCCGUGUCUGUUUUGCUACAGUGCUCUUAAAAGGAUAACAUCUUUAAUACACCUCAGAAGUAGUUAAGAAAGUCUUGAUAAAAAACCAGACAUUUUCUUUAUACUCAAAAAGUAGUUAUUGGACUAAUUAAGAUUCUAAUCCCUUUAAGAAAUAUUCAAAAGGGGUUAUUGUCACUACUUUAGUCCUUGUUGUUUUAUUUCAAAAGUUAUUUCACACUAGUGUUUAAUAUAAGAUACAAUACUACCAAAAUUCUACUCAAUAGUUUAUUUAAAAUAGUAUUGACUAUUAAAAAUAAGAAUUUACACUAAUAUUAAAUUCAACAAUUAGUAACAUUAUUUAAAAUAAUUAUAGUAUUUAAAUGGUUAUUUAUCUUUAUUAAAUAAGAUUUAACAUAAUCCUCUGCGACAUUUUACUAAAUAAGUACAGUUUUAUAUAUAAUUCAAUCUAAUCGUAAAAAAUAAUUUAUUCCAAUCCUACCUUCCAAACAUAGACAUAGUAGACAAUGAGAGCAUGAGUUAAGAGAUUAUAAAUCAUGGACCAAGGGACUAAAGAUACGGACCUUGAGAUCAUAUAUCGUGGACUAUUAGAGACUAAUGACCGUGGACAAAUCUUAGUACAUAAAAAAGGGAAUUUUAGUCAAAUGUAGUUUGAUAUUAAGGAAUUCAGCAAGCAAGCUACAAGAAUAUCCAAAAGCGUGUAAUUUAUGUUUAAGGAAAUAAGUGGAGAUAGAGAUGAAAUUGCAAAUUCAUCCCAAUCUUAAGUGGUUUAAUUCAAGAUGUAUGUUACCUACAAGCACAGUAAGCACGGUGAUGUCUCUCUUUAACACAGGGGACACAACAAAAACACUGUUAUUUUCUACCCUUUUAAAAAAUUCCAAUAAUAUGUACACGUUAUACAUACAUGCAUCACAUACGUGCGUCGAUCAUCGAUGUAAAACUAACAGCAAAUUUCUAGUAAAACAAACAUCAUUACUUUUAGUAGAAGAUAUAAAAAAUAUCAAUUAGUAACCAUUAGAAAAUAAAAAUUUAUGUAAUUGAUGCAGAUAAAUGGAAUCAAGUAGUAACAUUUCCUUCUCUUUGAAGAGAAAAGAUUAAAAACAAAAAGGGGGGCGGAGCGCAAACAUGACAAUUUUUUUUAUCCGCACAUGCCAUGAUAAUCGAUAAUCCGAUAUACCAACCGCGUCUAAUUGUCUGAAUUCUCCAGCUUAUCAAGCUUGCUCAAUUGCACCGACAGACACUGACCAUGGGAGAUUAAUCACCACUCGCAGUAUUAGAUGCGUGAAGGACACAUUCGCCAAUAAUUUAUAGCGGACAGUAGCAUUCCCCAUGCCGCACGGAGAAAAAUAGUUGGAUUUGCGUAAGUUAAAUUGACUUGACUCGAAUGGUGGUGGUUGCUGUUAAGCGGUCAGUACUUCUGGCGACUGCUUGGCUUACACGCAGUUCUUGGGGGUGUCAUUUGACUGUGAAAAAGAAUUUUGGCUUUAUUGAUAUCAUGUUGGCUUUGGAAUUUUGGAUGGCUUCGUUUGGACCAUAAGACACGAUAUCGUUCAUAACACGUUAGCAGUCCUUCUCACGGGAGAAAAACUGGGGUGGGGGCAGAUGUACCGUAUCAACUGCCGUUUAGCAAGUCCUGCUCUCGUAUGGAGUCACCACUUUGACCAGCACUUUAUCCCUUAUGGACCGAUCCGGUGCGAGCAGGGAUUGGUCUGGGUUGUGGUACGAGUUUAAAAGUGUCUCCCACAAUUGGGGUCCACUCAAGACCACCUCGUGGUUCAGACCACAAACAAAAUUGUCGUUUAGCAGAUCAUAUGAGUCCUCAAAGUGUCACUUACAAUUUUUUUUAUUAUAAAUGACUGUCAAAUAAUUAAUCAAAAUUUUAUUAUUUACGGUUAUAAUUAGAAUGAUAAAAGUUGUACAGUUACAUCCACAUAUAAGUUUAUCUUUAAAGGAUAGGGGCAAUGAAUAUAACCGUAUAAGUUAUAACCUCAUAUAAGUUUCUUUCUUCUUAUGGAUAUAACUGUAUAUGGGUGGCGUUAUAUAGUGCCCCACAGAGGCUCUUUAAAAUUAUUUUAUGUACAUUUUAAACAUUCCCUCUUUAUUGAUUUGAAACACCAAAAAUACCUCUCUUAAAUUUUAAAAAUAUAUAAAAUAAAAAAAAUUACAUGUUAAAACUAUGCUUGAUGUCUCUAGCCUAACAGUUAGCACACGUAUUGUACACUUUCACCUUUUUCUUCUCAAAUUUUUUACUCCUCUUUUCUCUAAUUCUUCACACUUCGCUACUAUCUCUAGAAGCUUAUUACUAAUUUUCUGAUCAAAUUACUUAUAUAAGUACUCUUAGUUGAUUAUCACUUCUUUAAUUUUUUUUGGAGAUUUCUCUUAAAUGAAAGAAUUAAGGUUAUGUUCUAGAAAAUUUUUAACUCCCAUAUUAUAGUUUUGAUAAUGAGAUUAUCCUUAAAUUUUCAACAUAUGAAAAUACUUCGAAACAACUAUAAAUGUGUUGAAUGAAAUAUUCUAAUAAAUUUAGAUUUUAGUACUUAUUAUUUAUUAAUUUUUUUUUAAAUUACAUUACUAAUUACUACUUGAGCUUAGCCCUUGUGACAUUAAAUUGCUGAUAGCGCCACUAAAUGUAAGUUUUAAACUCAUGUUCGAUUUCUCCCAUGUGUAAACUCUGCCUUUAAUUUAUUAUUUAGUGAUAUUACAUUGCAUUAAUUAAUACAAUACAAAUUGUUUACUAACAGAGCCUCAAGAGAGUAAUUUAUUAUUUAGUUGGCAAAUUAAACAACUGCAGCAGUCACUAGCAGCUGGCCAAGAGCUAGCAUAGAUCAAUUGUUCAUCUACCUACCACUUGUGAAAUUGUUACAUCAUUACUUGAACAUAUUUCCAAUCCAAUCGUGGUUUUGUUUUGUUCGUCUUCAAAAGCUUUGUUUGAGAAACUCGCAGGCUUCUUUGGAGUCAUUAUAUCAGCUGUAUUCUCAUUUUCGAGCAUCGAAGAAAUUUCCAGUAUAGAAGGUCUAUCGUUUGGGUUCUCCUGAACACAUAGCAAAGCUACUUGGAGACAUGUCAAUAAUUUCCACGAGGAAUUCGUUUCAUCUAGUGAUGGAUCCAUUAACUCCACGCCUUUCCCAUUCUUCCACAACUCGUAUGCCUGAAAACAUCAAAUAUGUUAUUGAGUUACAUUCAAUUGAUUAGCACUAUAAUGUUUUGAUUCAGUGUGUAUUAGAAAGGGGGUUAUGAAGAAACUUACAUACUCUACAAGGCUUAAAUUUUCAUUUUGACCAUAUCGAAUGAAAAGUCUUCUUCCACUUAUAAUUUGUAGAAUCAAAACUCCAAAACUGUAGACAUCAGAUUUAGUGGAGUAGACGCCUCUUCCAACAUAUUCAGGAGGAAUAUAGCCUCUGUAGUAUCGAGUAAUUACAAAUAUUACUAAAACUAUUUGACGUAAAAGAUUAAGUUGAUUGGUAAAGGUUCGACAAUAAUAUUAAAGACAAGUCGGAAAAAAAAAGACAAAUAUAUACUUACUGUGUUCCAACAAUUCGAUUUGUUUUUGCUUCAAGAUCAUCUUUCACAAAAAUUCUAGCCAAGCCAAAAUCAGAUAUUUUAGGUUUCAACUCUUCAUCCAACAAAAUAUUACUAACUUUUAAGUCUCGAUGAAUAAUUGUUAAUCUAGAAUAUUCUUGGAGAUAGAGAAGCCCCUGAAUAAUUCCUUGAAUGAUAUGAAUACGUUUUUUCCAAUCCAAAAUAAGCCUUCUGAUGGGAUCUGCAUCAAAUGUAAAUAUAGUUGGACGGUCAGUACCAUUAGCAUUUGGAGACGAGAAAUGCAAAUUGAGGCACAAAAAUUAGAAAUUAAGCAGUUAAGCACAUACCAAAAAGGAAAUAGUCUAAGCUUCGUUUUGGCAUAUACUCAUAGAUGAGCAUAUAUUCUUGUGUGUCAAUGCAAAAACCCAAAACUCUGAUCAGAUUUACGUGUUGAAGCUUUGCAGUAAGCAUAACCUCAUUCUUGAACUCCUCAAAUCCUUGUGUGGAUGUCUUCGAGAGUUUCUUCACUGCUAUUAUUUGUCCAUCAGAUAAUACACCCUGCAAACACGCCCCAAAAUGUUUUUUUUUAAAAGCACUAUGUUCACACACACACACACACACAAACACACGUAGCUUGCACUAAUUAAUUAAUAAGCUUAGAGAUAACCAAGCUACCGAUACAUAACCUUGUAAACAGGACCAUAUCCACCCUCCCCGAGCUUAUUUUCAAUUGAAAAUCUAUCCGUGGCCACCUCAAUAUCAGCCAAGCUAUAUUCUCUGAGAUCAGGAUCAUUGCUGUUAAAAUCUCCAGCAUCUGCUUGACUAUUUGCGCUGUCCUUUGAUGCUUUGGCUGAGUCAAUUACGGUCCAAUUAAUAUCAACCAAGAGAAAGAAAGCUAAUUUAAGUAAAUUGCCCACUUCUUCAUCUGUGUUAAAUGGAAUAGAAGUAAAAAUAUUCCUAAUCCCGUGCAGAAGAAGUUACCUUCUAAUUUGAGGUUUUUCAUCCAGCAGUAGUAAUACAGCAAAAAGCCUAUUAGAAGAAUACAAGCUGUAGUUAUAGGCAAAACAAUUGCCCAUAAUAGCCGCUUAUUUUGUCGAUUCCUUUUAUCCUCUUCAGCUGAAAAGUCAAAUCACUUUGUGUUAUUUAACCACUGAUGGUCAAAUAAAGAUCUUAAUUGAAGUCAUUAUGCAGAGAAGUGAUCGAAUGGGUAGCAGGCAGUGAGUGAGGCUUUGCAUUUGCUUACCUGCAGCUUGAGAAAGCAUCCAAUAAUGAUCACUGGAAACUUCCCACACAUAGUAACCACGUAGCUUCUUCUCCUUGGCAUAUGCAACCUUCACUCUAACGGCCUCGACAUCAUCAAAACCAAACCAAAUCUUCCCAAUCGAGCAGUAAUUCACGACAUAAGUUGAAUUGUACAUUACUUGAACAUUAGGACCAUAGUUCUUGAUGUGAUUCUUGACUUCCUUAUAAGUCACAAGGCCAUCAUCAUGCAAAGCUGGUCCUGUUGCUGCUGCGCCAAUGCCAUUGUCCUCAGGUUUCACAAGCGUCCAUGCAUAGCCAUAGAAAGGCAAACAUAAAACCAAUUUAUCAGCCGAUAACCCUUCCUCAAUCCAUUCCGUGAUUCCAUAUUCAGUAUUAGAGACACUAUUUGGAUCAUACAGAGCCGCAUGAGCACCAGUAAAAUUUUGCCACGUAGGGCUUGAGUAUUCGGUAGUGAUAACAUGAACCCAAUUCAAGUACUGUCUUAUCGAGUCGACUGGAUAAGCUGCUGCUGUUGAGAGUGGUGAAUAUGCGACCUUUGCUGUCAAAAUCAACUGUGAUUGGCUCGAGUUAUUUCUUGCUUCUAAAGCAACGGCAGCUCGCCAUUCUUUAAAGAGAAUGCCAAUAUUGUACUUAUCCCGGCUUGUGUUUGCCUGAUUCCAAGACAGAUCUAAGCCUUGAAAGCCAUAAAGCCUUGCUAUUUUUAUUGAGGAGUCAAUAAAGUAUUUCCUGAAAGAAGGAUUGCCCGCCAUGGAAGAAUAACUUGAAUAGUUUGGAUUAUUGCCUCCUCCGAUGGAAAGAAGAGUAGUGAUUGAUGGGUUCUUUAUUUUGACAGUGUCUGUGAAGUUGGAGAAUUGUUUUUCAUCAGAAGGUGAUAAAGAAAGCUCAUAGGAAGUUGAGUUGACAUCAGCAAAACCACACAUAAGGUGAGUGAAAAGAGCAGAAUUUACAUCUGAAACGGGGAACCCAUCGUCUGAAUCCCAGUAACCAGCUCUGAUUAAAGUUUGUGCCCUUGCAGGAAGCGAUUCUGAAAAUAUAAAAAUGUAGAGGACAAGAAUGAUAAUUUUGGAUGCCAUUGUGGGAACCUUGAUGCUUUGAGGCAAACCUAGUAUGUGAUUACAUAUAUAUGUACAGACACAAAAUGUAAUGGAGAAAAUAUCCGACACCGAUUGAGAUUUGUUAUUGGACUAUAAUACAAACUUGAGGCAACUUUCAACUCAUGAGCUUAGCUCAUAAGUCUUUAUACGAUAUCAAAGUCAAGUUUCGAAAGAGUGACUCUAUACUACCUUUCAAUUUAACAAAGAGAAAGAAAAGAGAUCAACCUACACGUGGUAGGAAGAUAGAAAAAGUAUAUCACAUUGGCUAAGAUUAAUUACUAGGUUGAUAAUAUAAGCUCAAAACAACACUCAGGUCCAUAACAAGCUGUAAUUUAAUAAAGUUAGGUCAACUCGAUAUUUUAUAUAGUACGUCAUGAGUGAGGAGGAGUUUAAGCUGCAAAUCGCAGUCAUGAGUGAGAACAAAUUUGAUUUUCUCAAGAUUUUGCGUUUUGUACACGUUGAUCAUGGACUGAAUCAAGUUAGAAAAUAUUUUCACAAGAUUUUCCCUUCAAAUUGCAUGGAUGGAACCAUAGAGGAAUACAUCGAAAAGUUUGUCUUCUUGUCAUGAUGUUAAGUGAUAAGAUUGAAGCUCUUAAAUUAAGCUAUGACGUUUUACCUCCACUUAGCUUGACUUCUGAAGCUGAAGACUCAUGCUUUUGCAUUGACUUUGUUGGUAUUUAAAUGACCUCGGAGUCUUGGACGUGUUUCUGAAGCAAUGCCAUGGUCUAUGAGUACAUUUUUUUUUUUGGGUAAAAAAGGGAAAGUCUGUCGUUAGGAAAACAUCCUGACAACGGGAUGGUGAGGGGGGAAAAAAACAAAUUAUACACUUAAUUAUUUCCUCAUGAUAAGAUUCAGUAGUAUUGUAAUUUUAAUAAAAAAUUAAGACCCUUUUGCCCUUUUUCUUGUGUAAUUUAAUUUUCAAACAAGACCACCCUCCAAUUUUAGUAUAAAAGCCUAUACGAAUGUCCGUUCACUUUGACUCAAUGUUUACAUAAAAACAAAUGGCGCGCAGACGAUUUGUCGAUCUAGUACCACUCUCGUAUACUUGGUGAGAUUCAGCUUCACCAAAUUUGUAGCCUAUAUUUUACUUUAAUGAGAAAAUCAAAUAUUGUUUGAACAAAUAAUUUUCUUUUUUCUAUAUACUUUCUUAAAAUGUAUGGAGUGGGUAAAGUACAAAUUGAAUUUUUAGCCCUUUGACUCCUCCAAAAUUCGAACUCAAUUUAAUGUCAAUUAAAAUAAUGCUACUUGAAAAUCAUUCAACCAAAUAUCGUAAAAACUAUAAUUUUACGAAGUGAAAGUUUCACUGAUUAUUGAAUUAUAGAACGUGCUAUCAUUUCCUAGUUAGAAUUUGUUUAAUUCUAUUAAUUUACAAUCAUUCUUUAUUUUAUUUAAUUAAUUAAAGUGAAUUUGUUUUGUAUAAGUUCUAUAUAUGUAAAAUUUUAAAAUUCAGUGUUGAACUUAAUUGUACUAAACCUUUUAUAAUUUUUUAUCACACCUGCAUGUUUAACAGUCUAGUAUUAAUAUUGAUAGCACAUAAUAUAUAGGAUUAAGAGACAUUGAUUUCGGGUGCUACAAGAUUUUUAGGAUUGCAUGCACAAGGGCUUAAAAACAAAGUGAGGAUUUAAUUACACCAAACGAGGGUGCGUUUUUAUGAUAAAAUAUAAACUACGUGCAGGGUUGUAAAAGUGGCUCCAUAAUCAGUGUACAUUGACAUUCAUCUAGCUACCACCUCCGAAAAUGAUACAUCAUUAGCCGAGCAUUUUUCCAAUUGUGUUGUAGAUAAUAGUUCAAUCCCAAUUUCAUCAACUGGUUUUGAGAAAGCAGGCUUCUUGGGAGUAUUUGUAUUUGUGGUUUCAUUCUUGAGCAUUGAGGAAACUUGUAACAUUGAAGGUCUAUCGUUUGGAUUCUCCUGGACACACAACAAAGCUAUUUCCAGACAUCUCAUUAAUUUAUAAGGAGAAUUUGUAUCAUCUAGUGAUGAAUCGACAAACUCCACGCCUUUGCCACCUUUCCACAACUCAUAAUCCUGAAAUUAUCAAGUACCAUUUUGUUACAUAAUUUAUACUUCUUAAUUAAGUGCGCAUAUGUGUACUCAGGGUUACUAUAGCCAAAGAAACUUACGUGCUCUAGAAUGCUUAAAUUUUCAUUGAUGCCACAUAACAUUGAAAGCCUCUUUCCACUUAUGAUUUGUAGAAGUAAGACUCCGAAACUUAAAACGUCUGAUUUGGUAGAGUAUACACCUUUACUGGCGUAUUCAGGAGGAAUAUAGCCUCUGCAUUCAAAAUAACCAAAAAUAAGUACGUAUAUAUAAGUAAGGGAUUUUGCAAUUUAAUAAAUUUGUAAUUACAUUGUGAUAAAAGUCUAUCCUGAAUUUUAUUAAAGAGCUGGAUUCCUUAUUCGAAACUCACUAUAUAUAUAUAUAUGUGUGUGUGUGUGUGUAUGCAUGCAUGUAUGUAUGUAUGUAUGUAUGUAUGUAUGAAUGAUAUGUAUACGCGCACACAUGUAUGUACACAUAAGUACAUCGAGUAAACACAUCAUAUAUAUAUAUUAAAAUUCUGUAUUAGCUUGGUCCUCAUAUACAUACAAACAUAUAACAAUCAGAAGCUUGAGUAAAGGAUAUCAUUUAGAUGUAAUAUACUUACAUUGUUCCCACAACUUGUUCUGUAUUCGCUUCGAGACUCUCUUUUGCAAAAAUCCUAACCAUACCAAAAUCUGAAAUUUUAGGUUUCAUAUCUUCACCUAACAAAACAUUACUGGCUUUCAAGUCUCGAUGAAUAAAAGUUAGUCUUGAGUAUUCUUAGAGGUAUAGAAGCCCUUGAGUUAUCUCUUCAAUGAUACGAACACGUUUUUUCCAAUCCAAAAUAAGUCUUUUGAUGGGAUCUACAACAAAUAUAUAGUUUUGGACAAUAAGUGAUAUGCAAAUGAAUUACAUACACGAUUAAUAUUAACUUGAUUCCAGAACAAACCAAAAAGGUAGCAAUCCAAGCUUUUGUUUGCAUGUACUCGUAGACCAGCAUCCGUUCCUCACUGUCAAUGCAAAAACUAAAACUCUAAUAAGAUUUAAAUGUUAUUCAAUUGAUUAGAACACCGAUUGAAAAGAAGUUCCUUCUAAUCAAUUGAAAACCUAAAUUCUAAUAAGAACUGAUAAAAAAAUCAAUUCGAUGUUAUUCUUUGUGGCUCUGCUUAGAAUACUGAAAAAUCAAGUCGACUUACUUAUUUUUAUAUUGAUCGUUACAAGUCUCUUGAAUUUUUUACCUACUUCAUUAACUUGUUAUUUUGAGUUGUAUCUAACAUGGCUUCACUCUUUUUUUUCUUUACUUUGGCUUGGUUUUCUUUACAACUUGAAAGGAAUUUAGAUCUAUUACAAAUAGAUGUAGGCAAUUAAAAACAAAAAAUUAAUUACUUAAUUAAUUUUCCGGAAGUACUCUUCACUGUUACUGUUCACUAAAAAAUAUUAAUUUUCCAAAAACACAAUAAAAUGCAGAAAAUUAAUGACACAAAAUUUUUUACAUGGUUUGGAUUAAUGAAUCCUACAUCCACGAGGCCACGCCCAGAUGAAAAAAAAAUUCACUAAGUUGAGAUGUUACAACCUAUGGAUUUACCAAACUUAAGACACUCACUUACAGUUUAUCACCAUACAGUUUACUCAACCUUAGACUGAAUUUGCUUCUCUUGAAUAAUCGCUACCCCUCUUGAUUCACGAUCCUCAAGGUACUUCGCAAAGUGAUCAAUAGCAAUUCUUCAAUGUCUAGUGAUCCAAGAUCCACAUAAACUCUCCACAGAGAUGAAAAGAAAAUAAGAAAACAAAUCAACACAACAUGAUGCGCCAAAUCGGGAUUCUCUAGGGAGAAGGCCGAAUUUUGCUUCUCUGCUUUAUGCUCUGUGUUGUGCGAUCAAACUUCAAUUGUGAAAUACAUCUCUUUAUAUAGGCACUAAAAUUUCACCAAAAUAGUAAGUCUUAAAAGACUUGGAUUCUUUUCAAAUAAGAGUUUAUUUCCUCUUAUAAUUCCCAUGAUUCUGAAUAGCAUUAAAUCUGAUUUUUUUGCCUUACUUGUCUCCUAAGAAAUUUUUAGAGCAUUUAAUGACUUCCUGUUUGAACCAACUUCUUGCUCUAAAUAGAUCUCAUGCGCCAAUUAUAGAAUCCCACCAUUAAUUGACUUGCUAAAAUAGACAUCUAAUAAAAUUAGGAGCCAAAAAUUCUUAAUAAAUUGCAAUCUCACUAAAUUAGGGAAUUAAUAAAUUAAUCCCUAUUACAAGAUAUGCAAUAAAUAAACUUCCAAUUUAACUAGACUUGGCAUAAAAUGCCAACUCUAUAAAUAAUGGACUUAACACAACUCAUAAAAAAUUUCUUGUUAAGACUGUAUGAACCAAUUGAACUUCAGAUUCAUACUAGAACUACGAUGAUUCAAUAAGACCUUCAAAUUAAAUCCACAGAUUCCAUGAGUGAGAACCCUUGGAUUACAUUUGUUCAAGUUUAUGCUUUGAGUAAAAUAAAAGUAGAAAUAGGAAUUUGAAAGAAGAAAUUUAGUUAUAAAAAAUUGUCAAAUAAUUAAUUGUUUGGCAUUUAUUUUAUUGGUCCCAACCCAUGUGAUCCACCAAAUGAGACGUUUUAUGUGAUUGUUUGUGCCAUGGUGCACUAGCCUCAUAUAUGUUUGUUUUUUCUUAUGGAUAUAACUGUAUAUGAGUAGCGUUAUGUAGUGCCCCAUAGGGGCUCUUUAAAAUUAUUUUAUGUGCAUUUUAAACAUUCCCUCGUUGUUGAUUUGAAACACCAAAAAUAUCUCUCUUAAAUUUUAAAAAUAUAUAAAAAAAUUAUGAGUUAAAAGAAUGUUGUAUAUCUCUAACCUAACAUAUAGCACACGUAUUGUACACUUUUGCUUUUUUCUUCUCUAAACUUUCACUCCUCUUUUCUUUGAUUCUUCACACUUCACUGAUAUCUCUGAAAAAAUUAAACUGUCUCUAGAAGCUUAUUACUAAUUUUCUCAUCUAAUUAUUUAUAUAAGUACUCUUGAUUGAUUAUCACUUCUUUAUUUUUAUUUUUUUGGGGGGAUUUCUCUUAGAUGAAAGAAUUAAGGUUAUGUUCUAAGAAAUUUUUAACUCCCAUGUUAUAGUUUUGAUAAUGAGAUUAUCCUUGAAUUUUCAACAUAUAAAAGUACUUCGAAACAACUAUUAAUUCGUUGAAUGAAAUAUCCUAAUGAAUUUAAAUUUUGGUACUUAUUUUUUAUUGAACUUUUUCUUUUAAAUUACAUUACUAUUUGAACUUUGUCCUUGUGACAUUAAAUUCUUGAUAGCGCCACUAAAUGUAAGUUUUAAACUCAUGUUUUAAAUUACGUAUCCAAGCUUUCAAUGUGAUCUAAAGAUCUCAUAGCUUCAUUCGAAAUUAAUAAAUGAUCUCUAAGUGUUACGAAAAUGAUAUCAAUGAAAUUACAAACUCUUAAGAGUUUAUAGAACAUUAAUUGAUCCAAGUCCAAUACAAACUGCUUACUAGUACAGCCUCAAGAUCUCCAUUUAUUUUUCAGUAGGCAAAUUAAGCAACUGCAGCAGUCACUAGCAGCUUGCCAAGAGCUAGCAUAGAUCAAUUGUUCAUCUACCAACCAGUUGUGAAAUUUUUGCAUCAUUACUUGAACAUAUUUCUAAUCCAAUCGUGGCUUUAUUUUGUUCAUCUUCAUGAGCUUUCUUCGAGAAAGUUUCAAGCUUCUUUGGAGUCAUUAUCUCGGCUGUGUUCUCGUUUUCGAGCAUCGAAUAAACUUCCAGCAUAGAAGGUCUAUCGUUUGGGUUCUCCUGAACACAUAACAAAGCUAUUUGCAGACACGUCAAUAAUUUCCAUGAGGAAUGCGUAAUCAUCUAGUGAUGGAUCCAUUAACUUCAUGCCUUUCUCAUCCUUCCACAACUUGUAGGACUGAAAACAUGAAAUAUGUUUUUGAGUUACAUUCAAUUAAAUAGCACUAUAAAGUUUUGAUCAAUUGUGCAUUUUAAAGGGGGUUAUGCAGAAACUUACAUAGUGUACAAGGUCUAAAUUUUCAUUAUGACCAUAUUAAAUAAAAAAUCUCCUUCCAUUUAUAAUUUGCAAAAGUAAAAUCUCAAAACUGUAGACAUCAGAUUUAGUAGAGUAGAUGCCUCUUCUACAUACCCAGGAGGGAUGUAGCCGUUGUGGUACUGAGUAAUUACAAACAUCACCGAAAUUGUUUGACCUAAAAGAUUAAGUUGAUUGGUAAAGGUUUAACAAUAAUAUUAAAGACAAGUCGAAGAAAAUAGACAUAUAUAUACUUACUGUGUUUCAACAAUUCGAUUUGUAUUUGCUUCAAGAUCAUCUUUCACAAAAAUUCUAGCCAAGCCAAUAGAUGAUAUUUUAGGUUUCAAAUCUUCAUCCAACAAAAUGUUACUAGCUUUCAAGUCUUGAUGAAUAACUAUUCAUCUAGAAUAUUCUUGAAGAUAGAGAAGCCCUUGAGUAAUUCCUUGAAUGAUAUGAAUGCGUUUUUUCCAAUCCAAAAUAAACCUUCGGAUGGGAUCUACAUAAAAUAUAAGUAUAGUUGGACGGUCUGUAGCAUUAGCAUUUGGAGAUGAGAAAUGCAAAUAAAGGAUUUCGUAGAUGAAGAAUUUCUCGCUGGAAGAAUAAGUUGAAUAAUCUGCAUUUCCUCCACCGAUGGAAAGAAGGGUAGUGAUUGUUGGGUUUUUUGUUUUCACAGUGUGGUUAGAGAAUUGUUCUUUCAUCAUAAGGUGACAAAGAAAGCUUGUAGGACAUUGGAUCGACAUAAGCAAAACCACAAAUGAGGUGAGUGAAGAGAGCACAUAAUUUAUAUCUAAAAUGGGGAAGCCAGGCCUGGUUCCCAAUAACUAGCUCUGAUUAAAGUUUGUGCUUUUGCAGGAAGCGAUUAUGAAAAUAUAAAAAUCUGGAGGACAAGAAUGACAAAUUUGGAUGCCAUUUUGGAAAGCCAGCUGCUUGAAACAUGCCUAGUCUGUAUGUGUUUUUAUACACACACAUAAUGUAGCAGAGAAAUUAUCCUACAUUAACCGAGAUUAGUUAUGGGUCUAAAUAAUAUAUGUUUUAAGCAACCCUCAACCCAUGAGUUAAGUUCGGAAGUUUAUAAACAGUAUUAGAGUCAGAGUUAGGUUAUAUAUGGACAAAUGCGCUUAUAUUACCAAACUAAAAGAUCAGCGUGCAUUUGAUGGAAUGAUAGGAAAAAUAUCCCACCUUAGUAGUUAAGAUUAGUUACUAAGUUAACAAUAUAAGAUUAAAGCAAUCUUCAACUCAUAUAACGCAAGAGUAUGAAUCAAAAUUUAAUAAAACUUGGUCAAUUCGAUAUUUUAUAAAGAUAUACGAGCUACAACUCGAGGUCGCUCAUGAGUGGGGACGAGUUAGAUUAAGGCAAUCUUCAACUCAUAUAACGUUGAUCAUGGACCGAAUCAACAUAGGAAACAAAAGUCGAGGAAGUUGAAUCUUCUGGCCUUCAACAUUGAAAAGGUUGUCUUCAUUCAAUGACGAUCGUCUUGAAGUUCUUAAAUUAAGCUACGACGUUUGCCUCCACUUAGCUUGACUUCUGAAGCUGGAGACUCUUCCUUUUGUAUUGGCUUCGUUUGUACUUAAAUUACCUCGGAGUCUUGGAUGUGUUUCUGAAGCCAUGUCAUUGUCUACGAGUAGAAAUUUUUUUUUUUUUUUUGGGGGAAGAAAGAGGAAGUCUGUCGUUACUUGUUAGGAAAACAUCAUGACAAGAGAAUAGUGAAGAAAAAAAGAGAAGAAAAGAAUAGGAAAAACCAAACUGACAAACACUUAGUUAUCGACCCCUAUGCCACUGGCCUGUAGAACACACUCCCUCAGAAGUGAUUUUAAGUUCUUGUAAUUUUCUGUAUAAUAUGAGAGCAUUUUCCUGUUUAAAGCAGGGGCAGUAACAGUGUCACAAUAGAAAGCCUCCUGAUGGUAAGAUUAACUAGUAUUGUGAUUUUAAUUGGGGGUAAAAAAGUCCCAUACGCUUAUUUCCUUAUAUGAUUUAGUUUCAAGUCAAGACGACCCUCUUCAUUUUAGUAUAAAAGUCUAUACAAAUGUACUUUUUACUCAAUGUUUACGUAGAAACCGUUGGUGGUUCAAUUGUGGGGAAUGGCAAAUGUAAAGAAAUACAACAAUAAUGAUGGAACUUUAUUACAUAAAGUAAUGUGUUUACAACUAACUCUAUAUGUAGAAGAAAAAUAAUAGUAAUAAGUAAACUGCAGAAAAUUUGUGUGCUUCAAGGCACGUUACAAAUGUCGCUUUUCUUAGGACGUUAUUUGCCCCACCAAUUAAGUGAUGCACAUGGGUUAAGCAAAUACGCCUCCAGGAUACAAUAAAGCACUUGUUUGUUUGCUUGCGUUGUGCAUAGACGAAAGCAAACCAGAAUACUCUUGAAUGUUGCAAGUCUGCCAAGAAACAAUAUAUUGUUCCUGCAGAAAACAAUAUAUUAGAUUUUUAAUGCACAAAAGAAAUUGGUAUUUUGUGUUGAAAUUCGUACUAGAAAGGAAUGAUAAGAAAAGAGUGGUGUAUGAUCAUUAAUUUCAUGUCUAAAUGGCUUAAACAUGACCCCUAUUUAUAGAUAUACUUGUGCCCCCUCAUUUGGGUUGUCAUCUUUCAUGAUACCCCUUCAUUCAUGGCCAUUGGAUCUAGAUUUGAUUUUAAUCAAUCGUCCAAAUUGAACCAUCACCAUUUCAAAUGAAAUGUCACUAUGAAAUGAUGCAUCUCUAAGUGAAAUGUUGCCAUGAAAAGUUAUAUCAUUUAGUAAAAAGAUACAUUUUCUAUAAGACACAAUUAAAUGGACAUGUCCUUACAACAAGACAUCAUUUAAUUACACGUCUUUAGUGAAAUGUACAUUUUCUAUAAGGCACAAUUAAUAGGACAUAUCUUUACCAUAAGACACCAUUUAUUUCAUUUAUUGUUAAAAAUUUUCCAACAAUCCCCCACCAUUUUCAAAAUAAAUGAAUUUUGAAAAAUUAUCUUGCGCAGGCUUGGAAAACUUAUGCAUAGAUGAAUGUGUCUUUUGGACUUGAACCUUCACUUAGUGACAAUACAUCAAAGUUAAUCAAGGUGGCAUGGUAGGCAAGCUUUGAACCAACGACCUUAAUUGACUAACCGGAUAUAUCUCACACAUAAGUUUUCAAAUUCUCAAGUAUUCCUUAGCCGACACGUGGAUUGACCCUGUGUCUAUAUCCUGUUUUCAUGAGCGCUUUAGUAACCAACCAAGUUACAUAGGAAGCGGCACCAACUCCUACACUCACAUAGGUAGACUUAUCUGGAAUGUCCCUGUAACUAAAACAUUUAUAAGUCUAUUAAAAGCUAAGCACCUUAACCUUUCCCAUAUGUUACAGGUAUCAAGCACUAACCUUUGGGACGCAUCUAAAAAUAUUAUAGUGCUUGUUAUUACAACAUAUGAUGUACUUUUGCUCAUUGAACCCAAGAUCUUGAUAUUUCAAGUGUUAGGUUGAGUUUCCAUCAUUGGUGAUAAGAUGAUGCUGGUUUCAGUCCCAUCCCCUUAGAAGUUUUUAAUACAAUAUCCAUUGCAAGGCCUUUAGUUAAGGGGUCCGCCAAAUUUUGGCAUGAUUUUACAAAGUCAAUUGUGAUUACUCUAUCUGUAAGUAAUUGUCUUACAUAACUAUGUCUUAGACCAAUGUGCCUAGACUUUCCAUUAUAAAUUUGACUAUAUGCUCUUGAUAAAGUUGCCUCACUAUCAUAGUGAAUAGAUAUAGGAGGCAUUGGUUUAGGCCAGAUAGGAAUUUCUAUAAGGAAAUUCCUUAACCAUUCAGCUUCCUUGCAACAUAAAGCCAAAGCUAUAAAUUUUGCAGCCAUGGUGGAGUCUGCUAUACAAGUUUGCUUCUUUGAGCCCCAUGAAAUAGCUCCUCCACCAAGAUUAAAAAUCCAACCACUUGUGGAUGUAUGAUCAUCUCGAUCAGUAAUCCAACUAGCAUCCGAAAAUCCUUCUAAAACUGAAGGAUAUCUAGUGUAGUAUAUACCAUAAUCCAUUGUAUGUUUUAAAUAUUUUAGAAUUCUGUACACUGCUUGCCAGUGUGCUUGGCUUGGAUUACUAGUAAAUCUACUCAGCUUUCCAACAGCGAAAGCAAUAUCAGGCCUAGUACAAGUCAUCGCAUACAUAAGACACCCAAUAACACGUGCAUAUUCUAAUUGGGAUACUGAUCUGCCAGUGUUAGGAUACAGUCUUAUGUUUGAAUCAAAAGGUGUUGACACAAGCUUACAAUCAUAAUAAUUAAAUUUCUUUAAAAUUUUCUCAAUAUAAUGUGAUUGGGUCAAUAAUAGGCCAUUCUUAUUUUUUAUAAUUUUAAUCCCCAAAAUCACAUCAGCAAGUCUCAUGUCUUUCAUAUCAAAAUUAGAUGACAAUAAUGAUUUAGUGAGUUCAAUGUUCUCACUAUCAGUACAAAAAAUUAACAUGUCAUCUACAUAUAAACAAAUAAUCACACCUUUAUUUCCAUUGAAUCUGCUAUAGACACAUUUAUCAGAUUCAUGAAUAAUAAAUCCAUUUGAGACAAUCACUUUGUCAAAUUUUUCAUGCCACUACUUUGGAGCUUGUUUAAGACCAUAUAAAGACUUGACUAGUUUACAAACUUUAUGUUCUUGUACUGGCAUAACAAACCCUUCUGGUUGUUUCAUGUAAAUUUCCUCAUUUAAUUCUCCAUUUAAGAAAGCCGUUUUUACAUCCAUUUGAUGGAUUUCAAAAUGAUAAAUUGAAGUCAAAGCAAUCAAGACUCUAAUAGUAGCAAUUCUUGCAACAUGUGCAUAAGUAUCGAAAUAAUCAAGGCCUUCUUUUUGUGUAAAGCCUUUUGCUACUAGUCUUGUUUUAAAUCUUUCAAUUGUUCCAUCAACUUUCUUUUUCUUUUUGAAAAUCCAUUUACAACUUAUAGGAUUAUAGUCAGGUGGUAAAUCAACUAAUUUCCAAGUCUGAUUACCCAUAAUAGAGUCAAUUUCAUCAUUAAUGGCCUUUUUUCCAAAAAGCAGCAUCUUGAGACUUUAUUGUCUCUUCAUUUGUGAGGGGAUCAGACUCUAUAGUAGGUGUGAUCAUGGUCUGUUUUGAUUGUGAGUCUCUUGUCCCUUCAACAAAAUGGACUAUAAAAUCUGGUCCAAAGGAUUUUAUAGUCCUUAUUCUUUUACUUGUUCUCAAAUGAUUUUGCUCAUUAUUGGCAUCACGCUUUUGACCAAUUUCUAUUUGUUUAUCAUUCUCUUGAGAAUCAAUACUUUUUGGUAUAGUGAAAAAUCUAUUUUCAUAGAAUAUUGCAUCUCUAGAUUCCACUAUAGUAUUGAUCUCAACAAAGCUAUUAGGUUCUGUUACAAGAAACCUAUAAGCUUUACUAUGCUCAGCAUAUCCUAAGAAUAUGCAUCCAAUGCCCCUUUCUCCUAAUUUCUUUAUCUUAGGUUAUGAUAGCCUUAUAAUGGCUCGACAACCCCAAACUCUUAGAUAAGAAAGAUUAGGCUUUCUCUUUUUCCAUAAUUCAUAUGGGGUCACCUUUGUUUUCUUAUUAGGCACUCUAUUUAAGAUAUAACAUGCAAUUAAAAUAGCUUCACCCCAAAAACAUUUACCAAGCCCAGCAUUAAAAAGCAUAGCAUUAACCAUUUCUAUUAACCAUUUCAUGUACAAUGCCAACAAAUUCACAAAAUUCAGAAAAAGCAUAUUCACCUCCUUUAUCACUUCUAAGGCAUUUAAUUUUAGUGUCACAAAAAUUCUCAACUUUAUUUUUAUAAGUUUUAAAUUUUUCUAACACUUGAUCUUUAGAAUAUAAUAAAUACACAUAGCAAUAUUUUGAAAAAUCAUCAAUAAAUGUUACAAAAUAUUUUUUACCACCUUUAGAAGGAUUACUAUGCAUAUCACACACAUCGCUAUGAAUUAAAUGCAAUAAAGAAGAUGUUUUUUCAAUUUUUAGAAAAUGAGGUCUUGUGAUUUUAGUCUGUACACAUACUUUACAUUUUCCAUGCAUAUCAUUUUCAUCCUUAGGAAUUAACUCUAAAUUAGCCAUAUCAUGCAAUCUUCUAAUAUUCACAUGUCAUAAACGAUUAUGCCACAAAGAUAAUGAAUCAACCAUAUAAACAGAAGAAACAUUCAUAUUAUUGAUAUUGAGUUUAAACAUUCCUUCAUACAUGUAUCAUUUCCCAACAAAGGUACCACUCUUAGAUAAUAUAAAUUUGUUUGACUCAAAAACAAGUUUAAAGCCAAACUUAUUGAGAAGGUUACCAGAUACAAGGUUUUUCCUAACUUCAGGAACAUGAUAAACAUCAGUAAGAGUUAAAGUUUUUCCAGAAGUAAACUCUAGUUGCACAUUGUCUUUUCCUUUAACUAUUGUAGUGGAGGAAUUUCCCAUGUAAAGAACAUUUCCAUCAUCCAUUGCUUUAUAAGAUUUGAAAAGGCUACGAUCUUAGCAUACAUGCUUGGUUGCACCAGAAUCUAUCUACCAUGCAUUAUCAUCUUCAAGAACAUUAAUAUCAGAUAUCAUAGCCAUAAAAUUUGUGUUCGAAACUUCCUUUUGUUUCUUCAAAAGUCGACAAUCUCUUUUGAAGUGGCCAGGUUUUCCGCAAUGGUGGCAUGUACCCUUCUUUUUCUUUUUAUUGUUUUGAUUAUCUUUGGAAUCAAACUUUCUCUUUUGGUUAUUCUUAGGGUGAUUAGAAUGCUUAAACUCCUUCCCUUCCUCUACGACAUUAAUUUUUAAAGGAUGUAGUAGUCUGAUCCUCAAGACUAUUAAGCUUGAGUUCCUCUUCAAUACGAAGACUUGGGCCUAAGCCAUCCAGACUAAUUUCCUCUUUGUUAUGUUUAAGACUUUUCUUAUAGUCUUUCCGAGAGGGAGGAAGUUUAUCAAUAAUUGAAGAGACAAUAAUAGACUCAUCCACUUUCAUGUUAUGUUAGUUGAAUUGAUCAAGAAUAUGCAAAAUCUCAUUAUAUUGUUCAACCACAAGUCUAUUAUCAACCAUUCUAUAAUUAAAAAAUUUAGAAGCCAAUAAUUUCUUACUUGUGGCAUCUUCCAUCAUGUACUUAGCCUCUAAUGAGUCUCAUAUUUCUUUUGCUGUAGGUUUGUUGUGAUAUUGAUCAAACAAAGUAUCAGACAUGGCAUUGCAAAUGUGUCCUUUGCACACGUAGUCAUCUUGCUCCCACUUCUGCCGCACUCUGGUGUCCGCUAAUAUCUCAUCCUCACGUUCUUGAGGCUUUGGUGUUGUGAGAACAUAGACCACAUUGAGACUUGUCAACAAGAAAUGCAAAUUUUUCUGCCAAUGAAUAAAGUUGCCACCAUCGAACCGCUCUAAUUUGACAAAAUCUAUUGCGAAUUGUCGAAGAGAUGAACUUGGUGCCAUUGUUGCUGAAAUAACGUCUUAAGAUUGUUGGUGGUUCAAUUGUGGGGAAUGGCAAAUGUAGAGAAAUACAACAAUAAUGAUGGAACUUUAUUGCGUAAAGUAAUGUGUUUACAACUAACUCUGUAUGUAGAAGAAAAAUAAUAGUAAUAAGUAAACUGCAGAAAAUUUGUGUGCUUCAAGGCACGUUACAAAUGUCGCCUUCCUUAAGACGUUAUUUGCCCCCACCAAUUGAGUGAUGCACAUGGGUUAAGCAAAUACGCCUCCAGGAUACAAUAAAGCACUUGUUUGUUUGCUUGCGUUGUGCAUAGACGAAAGCAAACCAGAAUACUCUUGAAUGUUGCAAGUCUGCCAAGAAACAAUAUAUUGUUUCUGCAUAAAACAAUAUAUUAGAUUUUUAAUGCACAAAAGAAAUUGGUAUUUUGUGUUGAAAUUCGUACUAGAAAGGAAUGAUAAGAAAAGAGUGGUGUAGGAUCAUUAAUUUCAUGUCUAAAUGGCUUAAACAUGACCCCUAUUUAUAGAUAUACUUGUGCCCCCUCAUUUGGGUUGUCAUCUUUCAUGAUACCCCUUCAUUCAUGGCCAUUGGAUCUAGAUUUGAUUUUAAUCAAUCGUCCAAAUUGAACCAUCACCAUUUCAAAUGAAAUGUCACCAUGAAAUGAUGCAUUUCUAAGUGAAAUAUUGCCAUGAAAAGUUAUAUCAUUUAGUAAAAAUAUUCAUUUUCUAUAAGACACAAUUAAAUGGACAUGUCCUUACAACAAGACAUCAUUUAAUUACAUAUGUCUUUAGUGAAAUGUACCUUUUCUAUAAGGCACAAUUAAUAGGACAUAUCUUUACCAUAAGACACCAUUUAUUUCAUUUAUUGUUGAAAAUUUUCCAACAGAAACAAAUGAUUUGCUGAUUUAGUACCACUUUUGUAUACUGGGUGGGAUUUGGCUCCUCCAAAUUUGUAGCCAAUAUUUUACUUUGAUGAGAAAAUCAAAUAAUGUUUGAACAAAUACUUUUUUUUCUAUGUACUUUCUUAAAACGUAUGGAGUGAGUAAAGUACAAAUUGAUUUUUUAGCCCUUUGACUCUUCCAUAUUCAAACUCAAAUUAAUGGUCUGUUAAAUAUUGCCACUUAAAAUCAUUCAGCCAAAUAUUGUAAAAACUAUAAUUUCACAAAGUCAAAGUUUCACUUAUUAUUGAAUUGUAGAGUGUGCUAUCAUUUCCUAGCUAAAAGUUUGUUUAGUUCCAUUGAGUUACAAUCAUUAUUUUAUUUUAUUUAAUUAAUUAAAGUGAAUUUAUUAUGUAUAUAUUCUAUUUAUGUAAAAUUUUAAAAUUCAAGCUGAAUUGAAUUGUACUAAAUUUUUUAUAAUUUUUUGUCACACCUGCAUUUCUAACAGUUUAGUAUACAUAUUGAUAGCACAUAGUAUAUAGGAAAGAGAGAUUGAUUUCGAGUGCUACAAGAUUUUUAGGAUUGCAUGCGCAAGGGUUUAAAAACAAAGUGAGCAUUUGAUUACACUAAGCGAAGGUGCAUUUUUAUGAUGAAAUAAAAACUGGUUGUAUAAAUGGCUCCAUAAUUAGUGUACUUAACAUUCAUCUAGCUAUCACUUCCGAAAAUUAUAUCAGAAGCCGAACACAUUUCCAACUGUAUUUUAGAUAAUAGUUCAAUCCCAAUUUCGUCAACUUGUUUUAGAAAGCAGGCUUCUUGGGAGAAUUUAUAUUUGUGGUUUCAUUCUUGAGCAUUGACGAAACUUCCAACCUUGAAGGUCUAUCAUUUGGAUUCUCCUGGACACACAACAAAGCUAUAUCCAGACGUCUCAUUAAUUUACAAGUGAAAUUUGUAUCAUCUCGUGAUGAAUCCACAAACUCCAUGCCCUUGCCACAUUUCCACAACUCAUAUGCCUGAAAUUAUCAAGUAUUAUCUUGCUACAUAUUUUAUAGUACUUAGUUAGGUGCAUAUAUAUAUAUAUAUAUAUAUAGACACACACACACACACACACACAGAGGGUUACUAUAGCCAAAGAAACUUACAUGCUCUAGAAAACUUAAAUUUUCAUUGAUGCCACAUAACAUCAAAAGACUUUUCCCAGUUAUCAUUCGUAAAAGUAAGACUUCAAAGCUAAAAAUGUCUGAUUCGGUAGAGUAAACACCUCUAUGAGUGUAUUUAGGAGGAAUAUAACCUCUACAUUUGAAAAUAACCAACACUCUUUCAGUAUGUCUAUAUAUAUAUAUAAUCAGCUUCAGGUCUGGAAUUUAAAUUUGAAAAGAGUCUACAAUGUUGUAAAUUGCAUUUAUCACUGUUUUACAAUGGUAUAAAUUUAAUUAUAAAUGACUGUCAAAAAAUUAAUAGAUGGUUAUUAUUUAUGAUUAUAAUUAGAACAUUAAAAUUCAAGUCGACUCAUUUAUCUUUACAUUGAUUUUAUUCUUUGUGGUUAUACUUAGAAUAUUAAAUAAUUAAGUCGACUGGUUUAUCUUUAUGUUGAUCAUUACAAGCCUCUUGAAUCUUUUAUUUACCUAUAUUUUCUUUGAUCUGUUAUUUUGAGUUGUAUGAAAUGUAGCUUUACUCCUGUUUUCUUUACUUUACUUUGGUUUUCUUUAUUGUUGAUAGGAAUUUUCUUGUUAAAACUAUAUGAAUAAUUGAAAUUUUAAAUUCAUACUACAACCAUGAUGAUUUAAUAAAACCUUCAAACUAAAUCCACAUAUUCCAUGAGUAAGAACCCUAAGAUCACAUUUGUUCAAGUUUAUGCUUUAAGUAAAAUAAAAGUAGAAAUGAGAAUUUUAAAGAAGAAAUUCAGUUAUAAAUAAUUGUCAAAUAAUUAAGGGAAAAUGACAAACACACCCCCAACGUUUAGGCAAAGGAACAAAAACCCCUAAUGUUUUAAAAAAAACAUUUACACCCCAAUUUAUUAUAAUUUUACCAUUAUACCCUUCUAGCAUAUAAAAAAAAAUAGAUUAUCCAAUUUGUCUAUAUAUUGUUAAUAAAAUUAUAAAUAGACAAAUUGGAUAUUAUAAAAAAAAUUAUAAAUAUACCCUCAUUGUCCAAUUCCUCUAUUUAAAUUUGUAUCAAUAACCAAUUUUCAAAAAAGACAUUUAUAGACCUAAAAAAAUUGUAAAUAAAUUAUAAUUUUAAAAAUAAAAUUAAUUAUUAAUAACUAAUUUUAUUUAAACUUUAAACUUGUAUAUUUAACAAUUCUCCACAUGUCAAUCAUUUAAACUUGUACAUUUAUAACCAAUUUUCUAUGUUAUUUAUUAUGGUAUUAAUAACCAAUUUUAUUACCAACAAAGUGUUGGCUCCACUGGCAAUGGAGUCCCCUUAAGUGGCUUGACUGGGUUUGCUCCCCAGUUCAAGUCGCAGGGAAAUCCCCUUUGUUGGGAGAACCUGUGCCUUUCGGUUCGAGCGGGGAUUUCUAGUCUGGGUUGUGGUACGGGUUUAAAGGUGCCUCCCACAGUUGGGGCCCUCCCCAAGAUACCUCGUGGUCAAAACCAAAAAAAAAAAAAAACCAAUUUUAUUUUAAAAAUUAUAAUUUUUUUAUAAUUUUUUUUUAAGUGUGUAGAUGUCUUUUUUGAAAAUUGGUUAUUAAUAAAAAUUUAAAUAAAGGAAUGAGGUAAUGAAGAUAUAUUUAUAAUUUUAUUAAUAAUAUAUAGACAAAUUAGAUAAUCUAAUAAUUUUUUUUAUAUGCUAGAAGGGUAUAAUGAUAAAAUUAUAAUAAAUUGGAGGUGUAAAUGUCUUUUUUGAAAUAUUAGGAAAAUUUUUGUCCCUUUACUUAAACGUUAGAGGUGUGUUUGUCAUUUUCCCAAUAAUUAAUUGUUCAACAUUUAUUUUAUAGAUUCCACUGUUGGGACUCCAUGUGAUCUGCCAACUGGCAGGCCUUAUGUGGUUAGGUGAACCACGGUGUGCCUGCCCCAUAUAAGUUCCUCUCUUCUCAUAGAUAUAACUAUCAACGGCGCUAUGUCAUGUCCAACAAGGGCUCUUCGAAACUUUUUAUGUGAAUUUUAAACAUUACCCCAUUACGCUUUUGAAACACCAAAACUACCUCUCUUAAUUUUUUUUUUUAAAAAAUACAUAUUAAAAGAAUGUUUUAUGUCUUUAGCUUAACAGUUAGCACACGUAUUGUACUCUUGACAUUUUUCUUCUGUAAAUCUUCACUUCUUUUUUCUUUGAUUCUUCACACUUCACUGCUCUUUUAUCUCUAAAAUAUUAAAUUGUCCGUCAAAGCUUACUAUUUAAUUUACUGAUCUAAUUAUUUAGCUCUAAAUAUUUAGAUACGUUUUCUUAAUUAACUAUCACUUCUUUAAUUUUUUUGGUGAUUUCUCUUAGAUGAAAGAAUUAAGGUUAUGUCCUAGGAAAAUAUUAACUCUCAUAUUAUAGUGUUGAUAAUGAGGUUAUCCUUGAAUUUUUAACACAUGAAAACACAUUGAGGUAACUAUAAAUUCAUUGAAGGAAAUAUUUUAAUAAAUUUAGAUUUUGGUACAUAUUAUUUGUUGAAUUUUUUUUCUUUCCAAAUUGAACGCAGCCCUUAUGACAUUCAAUUCGUGAUAGUGCCACUAAAUCUAAAGUGUCGAACUAGAUCAUAUUUCUCCCUUAUGCAAACUCCAUCGUUUAUUUAAAUUUCAAUUUUGUGGCCUAUUUUCGAGUUUUCUAGUUUCACAGAGGGCAUCUUGGAUUUCUCUACGCGGUCUAUAGUCUCUAGUCCAAAUGAAGAAAUCGAAUUCACCAUGUACAUUAGUGUUUUUUUUUUUUGGGGGGGGGGGGGGGGGUUGGAAUUUUUUUAUUGGCACGGGAAGAAAGCUCUUCGGCACUACUCGGAAGAAGAAUAUGAGCAACACAUGGUCCAAUUCGCAUUGUAUGGAAGUAAAACCGAAGCAUUAGACCAAAAGCAAACCUUAUUCAUAUUUUUAGUUACUGAUAACAAUUUUUUUCCCCUCUUAUUAUCAUCUUAAUUAAGAAAUAUAGUAAUUCGUUAACUUUUUGGGAAAUUAAAAAGGAUGGCAAUAUACAAUAUUCUUGUGUUGAUGACCUUAAAAGCUAAUUCCCUUGAAACAGGAAAACUGGUAUCGUUUUUCAAAGCACAUAAAUGAUAUAUCCCAUUGAUCGAAAGAUUUCAUAGCCACACUCAAAAUUAAUAAAUGAUCCCUAAGAAUUACGAAAAUGAUAUAUGUCAUGACCCAACUUAGACCUGGCAAGAUAUUGUCCGUUUUGGGCCUUAACAAGGCCCGCACGGAUUUGUUCUUGGGGCGCCCAUACACCCCAAAACGCGUCUUGCCAAUUAAGGUGUGGAUCACCCUUUAUAAACCCAACAUCUCUCCCGUGCUUUGCCGAUGUGGGAUUCGCCUAGGGUGUUACAUACACCCCCCUUAGGGACUCAGCGUCCUCGCUGAGGUUUGCCCCACCAUCGCUCAAGAGGACACGCGGAGCCGCUCUGAUACCAUAAUGUCAUGACCCAACCCAGACCUGGCAAGAUAUUGUCCGCUUUGGGCCUUAACAAGGCCCGCAUGGAUUUGUUCUUGGGGCGUCCAUACACCCCAAAACGCGUCUUGCCAAUUAAGGUGUGGAUCACCCCUUAUAAACUCAACAUCUCUCCCGUGCUUUGCCGAUGUGGGAUUCGCCUAGGGUGUUACAUACACCCCCCCCUUAGGGACUCAGCGUCCUCGCUGAGGUUUGCCCCACCAUCGCUCAAGAGGACAUGCAGAGCCGCUCUGAUACCAUAAUGUCAUGACCCAACCCAGACCUGACAAGAUAUUGUCCGCUUUGGACCUUAACAAGGCCCGCACGGAUUUGUUCUUGGGGCGCCCAUACACCCCAAAACGCGUCUUGCCAAUUAAGGUGUGGAUCACCCCUUAUAAACCCAACAUCUCUCCCGUGCUUUGCCGAUGUGGGAUUCGCCUAGGGUGUUACAAUAUCAAUGAAAUUACAAACUCUUCAAGAGUUUAUAGAACAUUAAUUGAUCCAAAGCCAAUACAAACUGCUUACUAGUACAACAUCAAGAGAGCCAUUUAUUUUUUCAGUAGGCAAAUUAAACAACUGCAGCAGUCACUAGAGAGCUAGUAUAGACCAAUUGUUCAUCUACCAACCAAUUGUGAAAUUGUUACAUCAUUACUUGAACAUAUUUCCGAUCCAAUCGUGGCUUUAUUUUGUUCGUCUUCAUAAGCUUUGUUUGAGAAAUCGGAGUCCAUUCGAUGAGUCUAUCAGCAUUCUUUAACUAAUUAUUAGAUUAAAUGUAUAAAUUUAAAACUAGUAAAAGUUUAGAAUAUGAAAGAACCUUGAUUCAUUCAAGAAAUAAUUAAAAUUUUAAUCCUUUUCAAACUGGUUAAUAUUAACCUUAUCAUUAUAAGAAAACACAAUUUAAAAGAAAAAAAAAAUCUCACAAAGUUGGUGUGUGGAAUAGUCAAUACGUUGUGUCCUUGAUUUUUUACAAACUCUUAAGAGUCUAUAGAUGUAGUUAGUGAUAUUACAUUACAUUAAUUGAUCCAAAUCCAAUACAAACUGCUUACCAGUACAGCCUCAAGAGAGUAAUUUAUUAUUCAAUUGGCAAAUUAAACAACUGUAGUAGUCACUAGCAGCUUGCCAAGAGCUAGCGUAGAUCAAUUGUUCAUCUACCAACCAAUUGUGAAAUUGUUACAUCAUUACUUGAACAAAUUUCCAAUCCAAUCGUGGCUUUCCUUUGUUCAUCUUCGUAAGCUUGCUUUGAGAAAGUUGCAGGCUUCUUUGGAGUCAUUAUAUCAGCCGUGCUCUCAUUUUCGAGCAUCGAAGAAACUUCCAGCAUAGAAGGUCUAUCGUCUGGGUUCUCCUGAACACACAACAGAGCUAUUUGCAGACAUGUUAGCAAUUUCCACGAGGAAUGCGUAUCAUCUAGUGAUGUAUCCAUUAACCCCAUGCCUUUCCCAUCUUUCCACAGCUCAUAAGCCUGUAAAUAUCGAAUAUUUUAUUGAGUUACAUUCAAUUAAUUAGCACUAUAAAGUUUUGAUCCAGUGUGCAUUAUAAAGGGGGUUAUGAAGAUGUUGGGGAAAAAUCAGGUUUUUAAAUUUAUAUAAAACCUUUUGAAGAUCGCUCUCAUAUAAUAUAUAAGAAUUCGUAUUCUAGAAAUCGUACCUUGUAAAUCUGAGUUUGCUUUUUCCGCUGAAGUGAUUUAGGCUCCUAGAUCACGAUCCGCCACCACCACUCCUGUUAGAUCACGAUCCGUCACCACCACGCUUGUUAGAUCACGAACUGUCUCCAAUGAUCUUCCAGGUUAUGACUCAGGUUCGAUCUGCACUUGACGUGUGGGCGCCUUUAUCACUACCAAAGCAACUAGCACGAGAAAAUUUUUCUCUCAACAAUGGAGAGAAAAAUCUUAUUCUCUGAUUUGUAUAAAGUGGCUUCCCCUCUUCCUUUUUGGGAAAAUAAGCCUUAUAUAUCUCCCUUUAGUGAAAACCCUAGGCUCCAAGGAUUCCCCCAAAAUAAAACUCACGUUACUUUUCAUUUAAUAGGGGACCCACCAUGUAAAAUAACAUAAGGCCCCUUACACAUAAGCUUAUUAAAUGGAGCCUCCCACUAAAUGAUAUAUUUAGGCUUUUGACCCAAAUAGCUAGUUAUCUUGCUUAUUAGUCCAGCAGUGGUGCAAUCAAUUAAAUGAGCUAACCCGGGGAUCAUUUGGGAACAUACAAUAGUGGCUACAAUAAUUAGGCAUGUAAUUAAACUAGCCCAAUUAUUUAAUUCCAAAUCUACUCCACUAAAAGAUUGGAACUGACUUCCAUAAUUGUAUGCUCGAAUAAUAAUUCGUCCCAAGCCACAUUGAUUUCUUUACUGCACAAUCCUUUGUACCACAUCGUUAAUUAAAUUGAUAUCUCAACUGUCCAAUCAAUUUAAUAACAUCUUAUUCCUUGAUCCUUACUGGUUUUCUCUAAUGAUCAUUUUCAACAUACUAAAUAUGUUGACACACUCUGGCCAGAGAAUUCUAUGAUCAAGUACCGAAAACCUAUCAAGAGAUGUGUUGUACAAAUUCUAUAUUGUUAAUCCAUAACUCCAAUACUCAUAAUUGCUCCCACCAAGAUACCGGGUAAUCUUGACCACAAGGAUGUGUCGUGCCCAUUGGUAACUCAAAUGAAAUAACAAUCACAAUCAUGAAAUCAUAAUUAACUCAAGAUUAAGAUUACAGUAAAAUCAACGCCUAUGAGAUUUAAUAAGUCUGACAGUUAUUACAAAGUUAAUUAAAUCUCAUAUGUGAUCCUGUUCAAUGUAGUCGUACUACAUCAAUAAAUUCAUACAUGAUUAAGACAAAUCAUUCAAUGAAUUUAUUACAGUCUAUACCUAAAUAAAGUGCCCAACUUUAUUUAUCAACUGCGAACUAAAUUUAUUUAAUCAUAAGAUAACUUGUAUUUAUGUCUUCUGUGAAUCCACAUGGUGAUCACAUAAAUACAUAUAAUAUGAUUAAAUGGACUUUAAUACAAAUAUUAAUGCAAUUAAGAUAUUUGAAUAAAAUACCUCAUUUAUUUUAUUAAUCAGAAAAAUUGUUUAUUACAAUUAAAUAAACACAUAUGCUUUUAAAGAGCAUAUUUUCCCAACAAUCUCCCACUAGCUCUCAAAGCAUAUCUGGCAUAUUGCACAUGCUCUAGGGCUCUAAGUGCAGGUUAUAAAGGUUUCCCACUAAUGGCCAUUGUAAUAAGAUCUGCCAUUUAGCAUCUAAUGCCAUUUGGGGUACUGUCAUAUAACCUUUCUACACUAUUCCCUUAUAAGAUGAUACUUCCUUUCAAUAUGUUUUGUUUCUUGUGGUUCCUUGGUUCCUUAGAUUGAGCUACCGCACCACCAUUAUCACAAAAUAGUUUAAGGGGUGCAGUUACAACAGGUACCACCUCAAGAUUUCGUAGGAACUUGCAGAGCCAUAUAGCUUCUUUUGCAGCUUCAGAUGUAGCCACAUAUUCAGCUUUAGUUGUUGAGUCUGUGAUACAAGAUUGUUUCACUCUCAUCCAACUAGUAGCUCCACUUCCCAAUGUAAACACAUAGCCGGAAGUUGAUUUUCUAAAAUCCUUAUCUGACAAAAAAUCAGAAUUAUUAUAACCCACUAGAAUAAGUUCAUCACCAGAAUACACAAGCAUAUAAUUUUAAGUUCUUUUCAGAUACUUCAUUAUAUGCUUGACCGCAGUCCAGUGUUCAGGUCCAGGAUUAGAUUGAUAUCUACUAACCAUCCCUCCCGCAAAACAGAUGUCUGGCCUAGUGCAAAGCAUGGCAUUCAUGAGACUUCCCACAGCUUCUGCAUAGGGAACUCGUCUCAUUCUCUCUAUCUCUUCAGAUGUUUUAGGUGAUUGAUCCUUAGAGAAUGUAAUUCCAUGUCUGAAUGGUAAUAAACCAGUCUUGGAAUUUUCCAUACUAAAUCUAGCCAAUAUCUUAUCGAUAUAGACCGCUUGAGACAAGGCUAAAGUUUUAUUCUUCCGGUCUCAUAGUAACUUGAUACCAAGAAUAUAACUUGUCUCUCCCAGGUCUUUCAUAUCAAAUUGUUUUGCUAACCAAAUCUUUAUUGUAGUCAAUACUCCUAUAUCGUUUCCAAUCAGGAGAAUAUUGUCUACACAAAGAACUAGGAAGGCUACAAAUUUUCCCUGAAUUUUCUUGUACACACAUGGUUCAUCAAUGUUCUGAAUGAAUCCAAGUGAUUUAAUCGCUUGAUCAAAUCUGAUGUUCCAUGACUGGGAUGCUUGCUUCAAUCCAUAAAUAGAUCUCUGCAACUUACAUACCAUGUGUUCUUGGCCUUUUUUGUAUAAAUCCAUCUGGUUGCUGUAUGUAGAUGUUUUCUUCAAGAUGCCUGUUAAGAAAGGCAGUCUUGACAUCCAUUUGCCAAAUUUCAUAAUCUAGCACUGCAGCAAUGGAGAGCAGAAUCCUGAUGGAUUUAAGCAUAGCAACCGGAGAAAAGGUUUCCUCAUAAUUGAUUCCUUCUUUCUGAGUAAACCCUUCGGCUACUAAUCUUGCUUUAAAUGUUUCCACCCUUCCGUCUACUCCUCUUUUUCUCUUGUAGAUCCACUUGCACCCUAUAGGUUUUACCCCAUUUGGUGCCUCUACAAGUUCCCAGACUUUAUUGGAAUACAUAGAUUCCAUUUCUUGAUUCAUGGCCUUUUUCAAAAUUCAUCAUCUCUAUCUAUUAGAGCUUCGUUGUAACUAGUGGGAUCUUGUACAUGUUCAUCUGAGAUAGCCUUAUAGGUUUCUCCCAAAAACAUGUAUCUUGCAGGUAACCUAGUUACCCUCCCACUACGACGAGGUUCUAAAAGUGAUGAUUGUUCAAGGAUAAUCCUGUGCUGAUCAGCUGGUUGUUGCUGUUCUUCCUGUUCUAUAACAGGUGUUGAAAGCUGAGCAUCAACCUGAUCUCUUUUAUUUCUCUAGUUUUACCUUACUCUUAGGUUAUAAGUCAUUAUAUAGUCUUCCUCAAAGAAAGUAAAAAAUAUUUCUAUAAAUACAUUCCUAUCUUGAGGACUAUAAUUCAGACUUUCCCUUAUUCCUUUAAGAUACCUAAAACAUGCAAGCUUCUGAACACGAAUCCAUCUUCUCUAUCUCUGAUUCUAGUAGAAAUACUAGUAAACUCCAAAUACGAAUGUGUCUCAAACCAUGUUUGUGACUUUUUCAUAAUUUCUUGGAGUAGUGGACACCGAGAUAGAUGAAACUAAGUUCAAUAAACUUUGUAGUUUCAAAUACUAGUAUCUGGAAUCAAAAAGGUAAAUGAUAAACCACUUAGUAUAUAUCUUGUCUUAUCCAAAAGAAUCUUGUUUCUCCAUUUAAUUACACUAUUGUAUCAUAGUGUUCAUUGACAACCAAAUAGUGCUUGAAUUCUCCAUAGAGAUAUUCUUUGUUUCGAUCAUAUCGAAAUUCUUUUAUGUUCCUGUCUAAUUGCUUCUGUCUUAUUCACGUACUCUUUUGAAUUUCAAAAGCAAUGGAAUCAUGACUCAUUUAGACAAACAUAAAAUGAAUAUUCAUCAACUAGAUUGAUAGAAUACUCAUAACCUCUUAUAACAUGUAAACUGAUUAGUCCGUAUACAUUUGUAUGCGCUAAAUCAUCAAAUACAAUGUUAUGCUUUUAGCUCAUAAAGAGUAUCCUUGUCAUAUUACUUUUCUAAAUAAGAUUUAUAGAGUUACAAUGAUCAAUCUUAAUAGGCCAACAAGUCUAUCAUUAAUCAUUUUCUUAAAAUCUUAUUAUAGUUUAUAUGACUUAAGCAUAACUAUCAGAGGUGAUUUUUGGUUAGAAGAAACAUUUCUUUUCUUAGAUAAAUGCAUAUACUUUUAAUCAUUAUAUCUUACUUUGAAUAGAUCAAUGUACUUUUAUGAUAUAAAUUGUCUUUAUAAAUAACCAAAAUAAGUAAUAAACAGAGGAUCCAAAAAUAACAGUGUACUCCUGUUUAUUAAAACAAGCCACUGAAAUUAAAUUCCUCUAAUAUUUGGAAAAAUAAAGACAAAUAUCAAAACUAAAGUCUUGUAAAAUUGAUCUAGUCUUUCAAUUGAUAUAAACUAGCACAUCCUCAACUGCUAUUUGAAGCUUUCUUCACUUAAUCUCUUGGUUUCCUGAAAACCAAAUAAAUGAAUUACAAAUAAGAUUAGUUAUCUCAGAAUUCAUUAUUGUAUGAAUCAAUAGAAAUCUGAACUAAUUAGGAAGCUUAAAGAUUUCCUAUACCUGAUUUUAAUAAUCUUAGGACAAUCUUUCUUCCAGUGACCCUUCUGUCCACAUUUGUAACACUUGCCUUUUGGCUUGCCACUUCUUUUAAUGGACAGUUUGCCGAUCCCAACUCUUGCUUGCUCAUUCUUGUCUUUUGACUUAAGCCUUGAAGAGAAUCCUUUUUCAGGAAGUUUUCUGCUAUGAUAAAAUUCUUCUAUAGCAUUAAUUCAAUUAAGGUCAUAUCUUUAUUGUUUAAGAUAUAGCUGACCUUAAACUCUUUGAAUGUAUCAGGUAAAGAUUCAGUAAAGAUUCAAUCACCAUGUUAAUCUUUGAUUUAUCAUUGAUUUGAACACCAUGAAUCUCUACCUCAUUCAAAUAGUCCAUCAUUACGAACUUUUGUGCCCUCUUCCAUCUGAGUAUCCGUAAUACGUUUCAAUGCUGCUUCUCUGGCAAAAUGGGUAUUUUUUCCAAACAUCUGAUGAAGACUAGCCAUUAUUUCAGUAGCUGUUUCCAUGCUCCGAUGUUUCUUAUGCAGUUCCACAGAAAUCGAAGCCAAUAUAUAGCGCUUAGCCAUUUUGUUAGCUUCGCACCAUUUCUCAUAAGGCUCCCUCUGAUUUCUAUAAUCGUAUAACGAUGGUUCAGGAGGGCAAGGCUGGGUCAACACAUAUUUGCUUCCCUUAGCAGUGAGAAUAUUAAAUAGAUUGCGUUUCCAAUCUAAAUAAUUUUCGCCAGUGAGUUCAUUUUUAACAAGGAUAAAUAAUAAUGGGUUGAUGGAAGACAUUUUCUGAAAAAACAAAAUACACAUGCAUAAAUACUUUGAAACAAUAUUCACAAUAAAUGACAAAAAUGCAAAAAACCAUAAAUGCAUUUUAAUUUAUUGUAACGAUAAUCUAGUACCGCUUUGACAAGCUAUCCGUUGGGGAAGUCAUGUCUACACUUACUAGACCCAAUUAUCCAUUGGAUUAUUUACUUUCAUGUAGAGACAUGAUAAAUAAUUAUCGUUAUCCCUUUGGACCUAAAUUUGUUAACAGAGCUUCGUUGGGAAGGUUAAUAACAAACUUUAGUUGAGUGUAUAACCAUUGUUUCAAUCUACGUAUUUUUCAUAUCAAUAGUCACCGUUGGGGUGAACAAUCGAUUGAAAAAUAUUUCAAUUUUAUCUUUGAAGAAGUUCAUCAAAUAAAAUAUCUAAUAUAUAUACCCUCCGAAGGGAGCAUCACCGUAUCAUGAAGUCGAGGUAUAUAUAUAAUUUUAUUAUUGAACUAACAAUGGAGCCCGUGGGAAAAUUAUCUUGAAUUUUCCCUCUCCCACUCAAUAUUUUAAAAUUGGUUUUUCCUUUUUAAAACAUACAUAUUGUUAAUUGCAUGCUUCCUAUAAUAUCAUCUAGAUGAUAUCAAAUAUUAUUAAGCAUAUACAAAUUUCAAACAAUAUAAUGAAAUUCAUUAUUAAUGAAUGACAUGUAUCAUUAUGCAUAGAGUGGCACUACCUAUUCUAUAUGACAUGUUAUCAUGGCAUGUUAUCAUCCAAAACAUAACAUAUAGAAAAACUAUUAAAUAAUCUUAAUUCAUGGCUUUCCUAAUAAUGAAAAAUACAUUAACCCUAAGCCUAAUCUUCAUUGGGCUUCUUGUCAAUGUCCAUCUUCCAUAAGCUUGUUUUUGUUAAUGGACUAGGGGAAAUUGGGCUUUUAAAUUUAUAAUUGGUCCAAUUUUUAAUUUUAAAAAGAAAUAAAUAAAUAAAUAAAUAAUUUUAUUAAAAUAAAACUUUUGGACCAAAAAUAGAUUUAAUGUGUUCAAUUUUAUCUAUGCAUUAUAAUCCAUUAAACCCAAUUGAAAUUGGGCCUAAAGCUAGGAUUCACAAAGCCCAAAACUGUUUUUGGACUUAAAUGCAAAAAACUUAAACGUGUCUACCCAAAAGAAAAAAUUAUGGAGCCAUAGGGACCUCAAUGAUAAAAACCAUGAAACCCUAAAUCCAUAUUUUUCUUUCUCUCUUCCCCAGCCGCCAUCUCCAAAAACCUCCACCACUGUUCAGAUGCCAGCCGACCUCCGACGCAUCUCCGACAUCGAACCACCUGCCACCGCGUCGCCGGAAACGCAUCAAACUCGCGCGCGCUGCUGGCCACGCUGGCCCCGCGCGCUGUUUGCUGCGCGAGCAGCCUGUGCCAUCGCGUGCUGCGCGCACAAGCCACGCUUCCCGCGCGCGCUGGCUGCUGCGCGCUGCUGCUGCGUGCACGCUUGCGUUGCAGCGCGCGCUGCUGGCAGCAUGUGCUGCUGGCCGCGCGCUGCUCGCGCAGCAGCGUGUGCUGCUGGCCCCUCGUUGCUGAAAUUUCCGGCCUCGAUUGUUUGCGCUCGUUUUCCAGUGAUGAUGCUUCGGUGAUUUACAAAUUUUCAACGCAAAUUUUGGCUUACAAAAUUUCAAUUACAGUAAAAUAAAUCAAGAGGGAAUUAUGGUGAUAAAAAACCACCCCUCUUGUUACAGAUCCAAAGAAAAAAUACAUCGGAAAAUCUAACCAUGAAUUAAGACAAACCAUAACAUGCUUUAUUCAUAUAUUAAACAAAUAAUAUAUAUCUGAAUAAAUUGUGCCACUCUAAUACAUAAAUUUCAAGAAUGAUUUCAUACAAUAUUCUUAUAUAUUAAUAUGAGAUGGCUCUGAUACCAAUUGUUGGGGAAAAAUCAGGUUUUUAAAUUUAUAUAAAACCUUUUGAAGAUCGCUCUCAUAUAAUAUAUAAGAAUUCGUAUUCUAGAAAUCGUACCUUGUAAAUCUGAGUUUGCUUUUUCCGCUGAAGUGAUUUAGGCUCCUAGAUCACGAUCCGCCACCACCACUCCUGUUAGAUCACGAUCCGUCACCACCACGCUUGUUAGAUCACGAACUGUCUCCAAUGAUCUUCCAGGUUAUGACUCAGGUUCGAUCUGCACUUGACGUGUGGGCGCCUUUAUCACUACCAAAGCAACUAGCACGAGAAAAUUUUUCUCUCAACAAUGGAGAGAAAAAUCUUAUUCUCUGAUUUGUAUAAAGUGGCUUCCCCUCUUCCUUUUUGGGAAAAUAAGCCUUAUAUAUCUCCCUUUAGUGAAAACCCUAGGCUCCAAGGAUUCCCCCAAAAUAAAACUCACGUUACUUUUCAUUUAAUAGGGGACCCACCAUGUAAAAUAACAUAAGGCCCCUUACACAUAAGCUUAUUAAAUGGAGCCUCCCACUAAAUGAUAUAUUUAGGCUUUUGACCCAAAUAGCUAGUUAUCUUGCUUAUUAGUCCAGCAGUGGUGCAAUCAAUUAAAUGAGCUAACCCGGGGAUCAUUUGGGAACAUACAAUAGUGGCUACAAUAAUUAGGCAUGUAAUUAAACUAGCCCAAUUAUUUAAUUCCAAAUCUACUCCACUAAAAGAUUGGAACUGACUUCCAUAAUUGUAUGCUCGAAUAAUAAUUCGUCCCAAGCCACAUUGAUUUCUUUACUGCACAAUCCUUUGUACCACAUCGUUAAUUAAAUUGAUAUCUCAACUGUCCAAUCAAUUUAAUAACAUCUUAUUCCUUGAUCCUUACUGGUUUUCUCUAAUGAUCAUUUUCAACAUACUAAAUAUGUUGACACACUCUGGCCAGAGAAUUCUAUGAUCAAGUACCGAAAACCUAUCAAGAGAUGUGUUGUACAAAUUCUAUAUUGUUAAUCCAUAACUCCAAUACUCAUAAUUGCUCCCACCAAGAUACCGGGUAAUCUUGACCACAAGGAUGUGUCGUGCCCAUUGGUAACUCAAAUGAAAUAACAAUCACAAUCAUGAAAUCAUAAUUAACUCAAGAUUAAGAUUACAGUAAAAUCAACGCCUAUGAGAUUUAAUAAGUCUGACAGUUAUUACAAAGUUAAUUAAAUCUCAUAUGUGAUCCUGUUCAAUGUAGUCGUACUACAUCAAUAAAUUCAUACAUGAUUAAGACAAAUCAUUCAAUGAAUUUAUUACAGUCUAUACCUAAAUAAAGUGCCCAACUUUAUUUAUCAACUGCGAACUAAAUUUAUUUAAUCAUAAGAUAACUUGUAUUUAUGUCUUCUGUGAAUCCACAUGGUGAUCACAUAAAUACAUAUAAUAUGAUUAAAUGGACUUUAAUACAAAUAUUAAUGCAAUUAAGAUAUUUGAAUAAAAUACCUCAUUUAUUUUAUUAAUCAGAAAAAUUGUUUAUUACAAUUAAAUAAACACAUAUGCUUUUAAAGAGCAUAUUUUCCCAACAUAAGAAACUUACAUACUGUACAAGGCUUAAAUUUUCAUUCUGGCCAGAUUGAACGAACAAUCUUCUUCCACUUAUAAUUUGCAAAAGUAAAACCCCAAAACUGUAGACAUCGGAUUUGGUGGAGUAGAUGCCUCUCGUAACAUACUCAGGAGGGAUAUAGCCACUGUUGUACCAAGUAAUUACAAAUGUCAGUGAAAUUGUCUGACGUAAAAGGUUAAGCUGAUUGGUAAAGGCUCAACAAUAGCAUUAAAGAUAAGUCGAAAAAUAGACGUAUGUACACUUACUGUGUUCCAACAAUUCGACUGGUGUUUGCUUCAAGGUCGUCUUUCACAAAAAUUCUAGCUAAGCCAAAAUCUGAUAUUUUAGGCUUCAUAUCUUCAUCCAAUAAAACGUUACUAGCUUUCAAAUCUCGAUGAAUAAUUGUUAAUCUAGAAUAUUCUUGAAGAUAGAGAAGCCCUUGAGUUAUUCCUUGAAUGAUAUGAAUGCGUUUUUUCCAAUCUAAAAUAAACCUUCGGAUGGGAUCUACAUCAAAUAUAAGUAUAGUUGGACGGUCGGUAGCAUUAGCAUUUGGAGAUGAGAAAGCAAAUGGAGGCACAUAAAUUAAAAAUUAAGCAAUUAAGCUCAUACCAAAAAGGAAAUAGUCCAAGCUUCGUCUUGGCAUGUACUCAUAGAUCAGCAUUUGUUCUUCUCUGUCAAUGCAAAAACCUAAAACCCUAAUAAGAUUUACAUGUUGGAGUUUUGCAGUAAGCAUAACCUCAUUCUUGAACUCCUCAAAUCCUUGUUUGGAUGUCUUUGAGAGUUUCUUCACUGCUAUUACCUGUCCAUCAAGUAAUACACCCUGCAAACACCCCCAAAACAUUAAAAAGAAAAAAAAAAGGCAAUGUUCAUAUACAUGUGUGUGUGUGUGUGUAUUUCGCUAAUUAAUUAAUAAGAUGAGAGAUAGCCAAGCUAUCGAUAUAUAACCUUGUAAACAGGGCCAUAUCCACCCUCCCCGAGCUUAUUUUCAAUUGAAAAUCUAUCCGUGGCCACCUCAAUAUCAGCCAAGCUAUAUUCUCUAAGAUCAGGAUCAUUGCUGUUAAAAUCUCCAGCAUGUACUUGACUAUUUUCUCCGUCCUUUGAUGAUUUGGCUGAGUCAAUUACUAUCCCAAUUAAUAUCAACCAAGGAAAAAAAAGAAAAAGAAAAAGAAAAAAGCUAAUUUAAGUAAAUUGCCCACUUCUUCAACUGUGCUAAAUAGAAUAGAAGUAAAAAUAAUCCUAAACCCGCGUAGAAGAAGUUACCUUUUAAUUUGAGGUUUUUCAUCAAGCAGUAGUAAUACAGCCAAAAACCUAGUAGAAGAAUACAAGCUGCAGUUGUAGGCAAAACAACUACCCAUAACAAUCGCUUAUUUUGACCACUCUUGUCAUCCUCUUCAGCUGAAGAGUCAAUCACUUUGCGUUGGUUAACCAUUGAUGCUGAAAUAAAGAUCUUAAUUCAAGUCAUUAUCCAGAAAAGUGAUCAACGGAUUGCAGUGAGUGCGGAAUUCCAUUUGCUUACCUGCAGCUUGAGAAAGCAUCCAAUCAUGAUCAUAGGAAACUAGCCACACAUGGUAACCGCGUAGCUUCUUCUCCUUGGCAUAUGCAACCUUCACUCUAAUGGCCUCCACAUCAUCAAAACCAAACCAAAUCUUCCCAAUCGAGCAGUAGUUCACCACAUAAGUUGAAUUGUACAAAACAUGGACAUUAGGACCAUAGCUCUUGAUGUGAUUCUUGAUUUCUCUAUAACUCACAAGACCAUCUUCACUCAAAGCUGGUCCCGUUGCUGCUGCACCAAUACCAUUGUCCUCAGGUUUCACAAGCGUCCAUGCAUAGCCAUAGAAAGGCAAACAUAAAACCAAUUUAUCAGCCGAUAACCCUUCCUCAAUCCAUUCCGUGAUUCCGUAUUCAGUAUUAGAGUCACUAUUUGGAUCAUACAGAGCCGCAUGAGCACCAGUAAAAUUUGUCCACGUAGGGGCUGAGUAAUCAGUAGUGAAAACAUGGACCCAAUUCAAGUACUGUCUUAUAAAGUCGACUGGAUAAGUUGCUUCUGUUAAGAAUGGUGAAUAUGAAACCGUUGCCGUCAAAAUCAACUGUGAUUGGCUCGAGUUAUUUCUUGCUUCUAAAUCUACGGCAGCUCGCCACUCUUUAAAGAGAAUGGCAAUAUUGUAAUUAUCCCAGCUUGUGUUUGCCUGAGACCAAGACAGAUCUAAGCCUUGAAAGCCAUAAAGCCUUGCUAUUUUUAUUGAGGAGUCAAUGAAGGAUUUCCUGGAAGAAGGAUUGCUUGCCAUGGAAGAAUAAGUUGAAUAGCUUACAUCAUUUCCUCCUCCGAUGGAAAGAAGUGUAGUGAUCGAUGGGUUCUUUAUUUUGACUGUGUGCGUGGAGUUGGAGAAUUGUUUUUCAUCCGAAGGUAAUAAAGAAAGCUCAUAGGAAGUUGAGUUGACAUCAGCAAAACCACACAUAAGGUGAGUGAAGAGAGCAGAAUUUACAUCUGAAACAGGGAACCCACCGCCUGAAUCCCAGUAACCAGCUCUGAUUAAAGUUUGUGCUCUUGCAGGAAGCGAUUCUGAAAAUAUAAAAAUGUGGAGGACAAGAAUGAUAAUUUUGGAUGCCAUUGUGGGAACCUGGCUGCUUGAGGCAUACCUAGUAUGUGAUUAUAUAUUUGUGUACACACACAAAAUGUAAUGGAGAAAUUAUCCUUUACCGAUUGAGAUUAGUUAUUGCACUAAUAAUGAUGCAAACUUGAGUCAACUUUCAACUUAUGAGCUUAGUCCAUAAGUUUUUAUACGAUAUCAAAUUCAAGUUAUGAAUGAGGGACCCUAUAAUACCUUCCAACCUAACUUAAUAAUUAAUCUUAGCCAAUGUGACAUACUUGUUCUAUCACUUUAUCACGACCCAGUCGAUCUUUUAGCUUUGUCUUUUUUCAUGAUAAUAAGUGAUAAGAUUGAAGUUCUUAAAUUAAGCUAUGACUUUUGACCUCCACUUAGCUUGACUUCUGAAGUUGGAGACUCGUUCUUUUGUAUUGACUUUGUUGGUAUUUAAAUGAACUCGGAGUCCUCUACGAGUUUUUGAAGCGAAGUCAUUAUUCCUCUAUGACUCCAUCCAUGCAAUUGGAAGGCAAAAUCUUGUGAAAAUAUUUUCUAAGUUGAUUCAGUCCAUGAUCAACGUGCACAAAACGCAAAAUCUUGCGAAAAUCAAACCCGUCCUCACUCAUGAGCUCGAUUUCUAACUUAAACUCCUCCUCACUCAUGACAUACUAUAUAAAAUAUCGAGUUGACCUCACUUUAUUAAAUUACAGCUUGUCAUUGAAUUGAGUGUUGCCUUAAUUAAUCCAUCAACUUAAUAAAGUGAUGGUCAUUAAGAAAUACACUUAGUUACUUCCUGAUGGUAAGAUUCAAUAAUAUUGUAAUUUAAAAAAAAAAUCCAUAUACCUUUUCCUUGGGUAAUUUAAUUUCCAGUCCAGUCCACCCUCCCAUUUUAUCAUAAAAGUCUACACAAACAUACGUUUUACUCAAUGUUUACUUAGAAACAAAUGGCGCGCGUACGAUUGCCGAUCUAGUACCACUCUCGUAUGCUUGGUGGGAUUCGGCUUCACCAAAUUUGUAGCAUAUAUUUUACUUCAAUGAGAAAAUCAAAUAAUUAUUGAACAAAUAAUUUUUUUUUUCAAUAUACUUUCUUAAAAUGUAUGGAGUUGGUAAAGUGCAAAUUCAUUUUUUAGCCCUUUGACUCCUCCAAAAUCAAAACUCAAAUUAAUGGUCAGUUAAAUAAUGUUACUUGAAAAUCAUUUCCUAGCUAGAAUUUGUUUAAUUCUAUUAAUUUACAAUCGUUUUUCAUUUUACUUAAUUAAUUAAAGUGAAUUUAUUAUGUAUACAUUCUACAUACAUAAAAUUUUAAUAUUCAGUGUUGAAUUGAAUUGUACUAAAUUUUUUAUAAUUUUUUGUCAGACCUGCGUUUUUAACAGUUUAAUAUUAAUAUUAAUAGCACAUAAUAUACAGGAUUAAGAGAGAUUGAUUUCGACUGCUAGCUACAAGAGUUUUAGGAUUGCAUGCACAAGGGUUUAAAAACAAAGUGUACACUUAAUUACUCUAAACGAGGGUGCAUUUUUAUGAUGAAAUAAAAACUAUGUACAGGGUUGUAAAAUUGGUUCCAUAAUUAGUGUACAUUAACAUUCAUCUAGCUACCACCUCCGAAAAUGAUACAUCAUAAGCCGAGCAUUUUUCCAAAUUUGUUGUGGAUAAUAGUUCAAUCCCAAUUUCAUCCACUUGUUUUGAGAAAGCAGGCUUCUUGGGAGUAUUUGUAUUUGUGGUUUCAUUCUUGAGCAUUGAGGAAACUUCCAGCAUUGAAGGUCUAUCGUUUGGAUUCUCCUGGACACACAACAAAGCUAUUUCCAGACAUCUCAUUAAUUUACAAGAGGAAUUUCUAUCAUCUAGGAAUGAAUCCACAAACUCCAUGCCUUUGCCACCUUUCCACAACUCAUAUGCCUGAAAUUAUCAAGUACCAUCUUGUUACAUAAUUUAUACUUCUUAAUUAAGUGCGCAUAUGUGUACUCAGGGUUACUAUAGCCGAAGAAACUUACGUGCUCCAGAAUGCUUAAAUUUUCAUUGAUGCCACAUAACAUUGAAAGCCUCUUUCCACUUAUGAUUUGUAGAAGUAAAACUCCGAAACUAAAAACGUCUGAUUUGGUAGAGUAUACACCUUGUCUGGCGUACUCAGGAGGAAUAUAGCCUCUGCAUUCAAAAUAACCAAGUAUAUAUGAGUAAGGGAUUUUGCAAUUUAAUAAAUUUGUAAAACCCAUUUUAAAUUGUGGUAAAAGUCCAUUCUGCAUUUUAUUAAAGUGCUGAAUUCCUUAUUCGAAACCCAAUAUAUGUAUAACAAACAGAAGCUUGAGUAAAGGAUAUCAUUGAGAUGUAAUAUACUUACAUUGUUCCCACAACUUGUUCUGUAUUCGCUUUGAGACUCUCUUUUGCAAAAAUCCUAGCCAAACCAAAAUCUGAAAUUUUAGGUUUCAUAUCUUCACCUAACAAAAUAUUACUGGCUUUCAAGUCUCGAUGAAUAAUAGUCAGUCUUGAAUAUUCCUGGAGGUAUAAAAGGCCUUGAGUUAUCCCUUCAAUGAUAUGAACACGUUUUUUCCAAUCCAAAAUAAGUCUUCUGAUGGGAUCUACAACAAAUAUAUAGUUUUGGACAAUAAGUGAUAUGCAAAUGAAUUUUAUACACGAUUAAUAUUAACUUGAUUUCAGAACAAACCAAAAAGGUAGCAAUCCAAGCUUUUGUUUGGCAUGUAUUCGUAGACCAGCAUCCGUUCCUCACUGUCAAUGCAAAAACCUAAAACUCUAAUAAGAUUUACAUGUUGGAGUUUUGCAGUAAGCAUAACCUCAUUCUUAAACUCCUCAAAUCCCUGUGCGGAUGAUUUCGAAAGUUUCUUCACUGCUAUCACCUCUCCACAGGGUAAUACACCCUGCAACCCCAAAAAAACCACGUUCAUAUAAAGCUUUCACUAAUUAGAGAAGCUGAGAAAUGUUAGCCAAACAAUAUGCUACCCCCCAAAGUUGAGGCCACCAUUUUAAGUCCUUUAAGUCCCCAUGGACGCAAAAUGUAAAUCUCCUCUCACAGAAUAUGGAUAUGGGUAGAGGUAUCUUCCUAAAAUGUUAGUCGAAGUAGUUAUAUCCCUCUAGUGUGAGGUUAGAGGUCUCAUCUCUAAUAGGCAUAGAUUUUUAAAUUAUAUGUUUUGGGCCUCUGAAUUCUACGACGAGUGUACAAAUUCAAACUUCCGAUAGGAUCCAAAUUGCAACAUUGUAGAUUGUAACAAAUUAAAAUAUAGGUACACACACACACACACACAUAUGUUACCUUGUAAACAGGACCAUAUCCACCCUCCCCAAGCUUAUUUCUAAUUGAAAAUCCCUCGGUGGCCGCCUCAAUAUCAGCCAAACUAUAUACUCUGAGAUUAGGAACAUUUCUGUUAAAGUCUCCAGCUUCUGUUUCAUUAUUUGCUGUCGUGUUUGAUGCUUUAGCAGAAUCCUCUGUUCCUAACAUCAACCAAGAGUACAUAUUAGAUAAAUAAUUGUAUGUCAGCCUCAGAUUUAUGUGUAUAUAUAUGAAUGAAAUUCAUGCUUAAUUAUAAUUGAUAUCUGAAACUUGUUACCUUCUCUUAAAUUGAGCCUUUUCAUCUGGUUGUAUUUAUACGCACAACAGCCUAGAAGGAGAGUCAAAGCUGCCGCUGCAGUAGAAAUGAGUGCAAUGGACAGAUGGCGGUUAUUACUAUAUUCAUCUUUGUCAGCUGAAGCAGAAGUAAUCCUCUCUUUUUGUGCUGGAAAUAUGUAUAGUUCACCAAUUAAUAAUAACUAGCUAGAGAUGCCAUAACAAUCAUUAUUAAUCAGAGAGAACAAUUAUUGCAUAGAUAAAUACCUGCAGCCUGAGAAAGCACCCAAUUAUGAUCAUCAUAAUCAACUCGCCACACAAAGUAACCACGUAACUUCUUCUCCUUAGCAUAUGCAACCUUCAUUCUAACGGCCUCGACAUCAUCAAAACCAAACCAAAUCUUCUCAAUCGAGCAGUAAUUGACCUCAUAAGUUGAAUUGUACAUAACUUGGACAUCAGGACCAUAGGUCUUGAUGUGAUUAUUGAUUUCCUUAUAAGUCACAAGGCCGCUAUCAUGCAAAGCUGGUCCUGCUGCUGCUGCACCAAUUCCAUUGUCUUCAGGUUUCACAAGCCUCCAUGCAUAGCCAUAGAAAGGCAAACACAUAACCAACUUAUCUGCCGGUAAUCCUCUCUCAAUCCAAGCCUUUAAAACCUGAUCGGUACUUCUAGCAAAGCCGCCGCUACUUGAGCCAUAGAGAGCCGCAGGCGGUGCCGUGAAGUUUGUUGACACAGGCUCGUAGUAGCUAGCAGUAACCGCAUGAACCCAAUUCAAGUUUCGUUGUCUCGAAUUCAAAAGAUAUGAAUUCGCUGGUGGUGAAUAAUGAAAUCUUGCGGUCAAGAUCAGCUGGGAUUGCUGGCGACUAGAGUUUUUUGCCUCUAAUUUUGUAGCAGCAAUUCGCCACUCGUCAAAAAGUAAACCAAUAUUGAACAAAUCGGUGCUUGUGUUUGGAGCUGUCCAAGCAAAGUCUAGGCCCUGAAAGCCAUAAAGCCUAGCUAUUCUUAUUGAACAGUCGAUGAAAGAUUUUCUGUGAGAAGAAUUACUCACCAUUGAAGAAUAAAUAGAAUAGUUUGUAUCCAUUCCUUGUCCAAUGGAGAGAAGUAUAGUGAUUGAUGGGUUCUCUUUUUUCAGUGUCUACGAAUUUGGCGAUUUGAUUUUCAUCGGAUGGUAAUGAUAAAGAUAGCUGGUAAGUGGUGGAAUUGAUAUCAGCGUAAGAGCAAAUAAGGUGAGUGAAGAGAUCAUAAUUUAUGCCCGAAAUGGUGGACACUUCGCUUGAAUCCAAGUAACCGACCCUGAUCCACGGUUUUGCUUUCGCGGGAUGAAAUUCUGAAUAGAAUAACAUGUGGAAGAUGAUGCUGAUAAUUAUGGAUGCCAUUUGAGACUUUGUUAGGAAUGGAAAUGGAUCCACACAAGAGAAAUUAAAUAAACACUAGUUUCACAGACCAUUUAAGUUCUUAUGUAAACUAUUAACUUAUAAGUUCAUUUCGUUCCAAAAAAAUCUUAUGUGCUCCGGAUAGGGACACAUACAUUGCAUGUUAAGAUGAUGAUAGGCGAUGCGACCAUUGCCUGAGAACUAAGAUUUUCUUCCAUCGCUUGGGUGACCUUUCACGAAGAAAGAUGAUGUUUUGAUUUACAUUUGGUUAAAUUGAUGACAAAUUUCGGGCUAUAAAUAUCACUCUUGUUUUAUUAAAUAAUUAAAAAAAUUAAUUUUACAUGUACGUUGAAAGUUAAUAUUGCAAUCACCAACAAGUGCGUAGAUCAACUGGCAAGGGGUUGUUCUAUCUUAACCAAGGUUCUCGGUUCGAGACUUGAGAAUGCAGUUGCGUUAAAUACUUGUUGGGAGAGUUUUGUCAUUCUAAUGGUCUUACACGGCUCGAAUCUGAAUUAGAGUUUUGCCACCCUAAUGGUCCUACACGGCUCGAAUCUGAAUUAGUCAAGACCCACUGAAUUAGAGUUUUGCCACCUUAAUAGUUCUACACGGCUCGAAUCUGAAUUAGUCGAGACCCAAUGAUACCAAAUGGCUUAAUAUACCAAAAAAAAAGUUAAUAUUGCAGUCUUUUGAGAUUGUGUUGACGUUUAUUCGGUUCGUUUAUUAUAUAUUCCCGUUUUUCUCCCUGUCUGUUUGCUACAGUGCUCUUAAAAGGAUAGCAUCUUUAAUGCACCUCAGAAGUAGUUAAGAAAGUCUUGAUAAAAAACCAGACAUUUUCUAUCUACUCAAAACGUAGUUAUUGGACUAAUUAAGAUUCUAAUCCCUUUAAUAAAUAUUCAAAAAGGGUUACUGUCACUACUCAGUCCUUGUUGUUUUAUAUAAAUAAAUAAAAAAGAUAUUUAAAGGGGCAUCACAUAAAUCCUUCCUAAUUACAUUUUGUUUCAUUCAAGUUGUUGACUUAAUUUGACUGCCUGGAAAAAUUAGUAAAGAGGUAAAAAUAAAAAAAAGGUAAAUUCUAGUUAUUAGACUAAAUAUAUAGUAUAAAUUUGCAGCAACUAGCAAAAGUUUAGAAUAUGAAAAAUCCUAUUUCAUUUAAAAAACAAUGAAAAUUCUAAUCAUUUUAAAAAAAAAAAACUCUGAAAGUUUGAAAAACUAAGAUUUUAAAGUCCUUUUACAAUAACCAUAAUUAACACAAAUUUCCGAAUUAUUAUUACAUAAUAAAAUUUUACUAAUAGAAAUAAGAAAACAAAACAAAUAGCACUCAAAUCGGAUAUAUAAAAAAAAUCUUGAAAUAAAUAGAAAAAAUAAGAAAAUAACUAAAACUUGCAAAACGACCACGAAAGAAAUGAAAUUUCCGGCCGAACUAAGGGGCCAAUGUGCAUAGUAUUAUUGGACUAGAUUUAUCACACCACAAGCUUCAAAACAAUAUAUUAUAUUUCCUAAAUGGACACAUGUAGGUUAAGUUACUCAAUUGUGUUAGGAGCUGUCCAAGCAAAAUCUAGGCCCUCAAAGCCAUAAAGCCUAGCUAUUCUUAUUGAAGAGUCGAUGAAAGAUUUUCUGUGAGAAGAAUUUCUCACCAUUGAAGAAUAUAUAGAACAGUUUGUAUAUCUUCCUCGUCCAAUGGAGAGAAGUGUAGUGAUUGAUGGGUUCUUUUGUUUCACAGCGUCUGUAAAUUUGGGGAAUAUUUGAUUUCCAUCAAAUGGUGAUGAUAAAGAUAGCUGGUAAGCGGUGGAAUUGAUAUCAGCGUAAGAGCAAAUAAGGUGAGUGAAGAGAUCAUAAUUUAUGCGCGAAAUGGCGGACACUUAGCCUGAAUACAAGUAACCGACCCUGAUCCACGGUUUUGCUUUCGCGGGAUGAAGUUCUGAAUAGAACAACAUGUGGAAGAUGAUGCGGAUAAUUAUGGAUGCCAUUUGAGAGGCUUAAGCUUCUUAAUUACCACUUCGAUGGGAAUGGAAAUGAAUGCACACUAAGAGAAAUUAAAUAAACACAAGUUUCACAGUUCAUUAAGUUCUCAUGUGUACUACACAUGCAUUGCAUGUUAAGAUGAUGAUAGGCGAUGCGACCAUUGCCUAAGAACUAAGAUUUUCUUCUAUCGCCUGUGUGACUUUUCAUGAAGAAAAAUGAUGUUUUGAUUGACAUUUGGUUAAACUGAUGACAUAUUUCGGGCUACAAAUAUCAGUAUUGUUUUAUUAAAUAAUAAAAAUAAUAAUUUUACGUGCAUGUUGAAGGUAAUAUUGCAGUCUUUUGAGCCUGUGUUGAAUUUCAUUCGUGUGCGUUCAUUUAUUAUCCAUCCCCUUUUUUCUCUGUGAGUCUGCUAGUUGUAGUCAUCUUAAAAGGAUAACAUGUUUAAUGCAUGUAAAUGCACCUCAGAAGUAGUUAAGAAAGACUUGAUCAAACCAGAUAAUUUUCCUCUUAACACAGAAGUAGUUAUCGGACUAAUUAAGAUUCUAAUCCAUUUAAGAAAUAUUCAAAAAAGGUUAUUGUCACUACUUUAGUCCUUGUUGUUUUAUUAAAGAAAGAAAGAAAAAAAGAAUAUAUUUAAAGAAGCAUCACAUAAAUCCUUCCUAAUUAUUACAUUUUGUUUCAUUCAAGUUCUUGACUUAUUUGACUGCUUGGAAAAAUUAGUAAAAAGGUAACAAUUAAAAAAAAUGUAAAUUCUAGUUAUUAGACUAAAUAUAUAUAAAUUUGCAACAAAUAGCAAAAGUUUAGAAUAUGAAAAACCCUAUUUUGUUUACGAAAUAAAGAAAAUUCUAAUCAUUUUCAAAAAUAAAAAUCUCUAAAAGUUUGAAAACUAAGAUUUUAAGGUCCUUCUAGACCAACCAUAAAUAACAUGAAUUUACCAAAUUAAGCAAACUCGAAUUAUUAUUAUUACACAAUAAAAUUUUACUAAUGGAAAUAAGAAAACAAAAUAAAUAACACUCAAAUUCGAUAUCUAAAAAAUAAAGAUAAAAAUCAUGAAAGCAAUAGAAUAAAAUAAAAUAACUAAAACUUGCAAAAUGACCAUGAAAGAAAUAAUUUUUUUUGCUAAACCAAGAGGCCGAUACGUAUAGCCCUAUUGUACUAGAUUCAUCUCGCUGCAAGUUUCAAAACAAUAUAUUAUAUGUUUUAAACGAACUCUUAUAAAUUAAAUUAUGACCUUAAAAAAAAUCCUACUCAUCUUACAUAAACAUCCUAUGUCACUAUAUAGUUAUACAAUAAUAAUAUAAUCCAAACACUCAUGAAGCAUAACUCAUGCACCCCCACUAAUAACCGUGAAAUUUAAUCACAUUUUACAAGAGAGAGGAAUGUUCUCAUUUAUUGGGGAUUAAACCAAAUAGUGUAUCUUCGAUUUUCUGCUAGGUUGUGUCAGGUUGGGCUUUUCAGAAAUCCUUUGACGAAAAGUCAUUGUCUUCAACAGCCAAAUCUUGGGCCAGUGGGCAAUUAUGGAAGUCCAUUGGAUGCAUUGGACCAAACUAAAAGUCCAAAUUUUUUUUUUUAUUCUUACAAAAACAAAUUAUAUGUAUAUAUUCUCUUCAACAACCUAAAACUGGGCCAAUGGGCAAUUAUGAAAGUCCAUUGGAUGUAUUGCACCAAACUAAAAGUCCAUUUUUUUAUUACUACAAUAUAUAUAUAUAUAUAGAGACAAAUAUUUUAAUUUAGAAUUUUAAAGUGCGGGAUAGUCCGGAAUAUGCAGUUUUAAAGACUUAAAACUAUAAGUUUUUAAAACCAUAUAAUUUUAAGUUUUUUUCAAUUUUUUUCGUAUUUUAAAAUUUCAGACCAAAAAACUACAAUAUAUAUAUAUAUAUCAAUAAAUGAAAUGACACAAUACAGUUGGCUUGCCGUUGCAAAGCCUCUUUGUUUGUUAUUAUUUAUUGGCUUAUUGCAAUAAAGACUAAAGAGAGCUUUGAGCCAUGCAGCAUGGGAAGCUCCAUUAAAAAAUAAAAGAAUUUAAAGCUUCAAGGAUACAUAAAGUGUGCCCACCCAAUUAAAUUUUUCUUUGAAAAGAGAAAAAAAAAAAAAAAAGCUGCAAUUGCAAUGACUUGAAUUUAUCAUCAAUUCUGGCUUAAUUUGCCCCCGUCAUUUUUUCAAGGAGAAUGCCCAACUCAAUUGUGACGGCUGCUGCUUCAAUUUUAAUUUUAUUUUUCUCAAGAAUAGUCAUUUUCAUCCACCAUAUUCCUGCAUCCUGAUGCGUCCUUAUUGCUUAUAUUAUUAUAGACCACUUUUGGAAGCAUAACAAUUUUUGCACACAUGGUCUCCAUCUUGCGGACCCAAAUGUUGAUGAUAUACUUGCAUGCUGCAAAAUAAGCCCUUUUAAUAACUUAUCAUCUGGUAAAUGAUAGUUUAUUUAUUUAUUACAUAACAAAUAUGUUAUGCCAUAUGCCACCUAUUAGUGAAAGAUGUUUAAAUAACUACUCUUGUAGUAAACUCCUGAAUGAUGGCAAGUUAGAUUCAGACUUAAUGCACUAACUUCGAUAUUAUUAUUUUUUUUAACAUGGUAAUUAUUUUCUUCUCGCUAGGAAGUUGCAAUGAUUCAUAAUAAGGGAGCAUUUUGCUUUAAUACAAUCCUUAAUAGAAGAUUUUCUAGAGAUGUUUAUUAUUAUUAUUAUUAUUAAUCCCGCGUUGGUCAGGAUUUGAUUACUAUAAUAUUGACGAUUCGAUUUCUAACAAUUUUGUUUAUUAUAAAAUUAAAGCAAGUGAGUAGUCAUCUAGAAAAUCAUAAUCUCUUUAAAGGCAUCAAAAGGCAAUGGCAAUGUAAAGUGAAUGUGAAUCUACUAGUAACAUGUUUACACGUGUAUUAAUCUUAAAAUAUUUAAAUACAUAAACCCAAGAUUCUUGGUUCCAAUAUGAGCUUUAUAGUUAAGGAGACCCACUUCGUAUGAUGGACUUGUGAGUUGUGAGAGAAAUCUCUAGAAUUUAAUUAUGCCGAAAGAAUCUUAAUCAAAUCGUAUCAUAAAAAAAAAAAAAAAAAUUCCAAAUUUUGUUUUCUUCUUUUGACAAAAACCCUCGUUCAAAAUGAUUCAUAUAAAUUUAUCAAUAAAAGAUUUUGAAUCAAUUAGAAAAUGGAAUUGUCAUGCGCACAUCUUUUGCUCGAUCGUUCAGUCCUUAAUCAUGUUUUAAUUAUAACCCAAACACGACAAUGACAUGUACGAUCUACAUAAAUCCUCGAUAUUAAUUGUCAAUUGGUUCUGCGAAUUCAAUGUGCAAAGUCUCACAAGUCAUAAUAAAUUUAGGAAUGAAAAGUACGAGCGGGUAGCAAGAAACCAUCACUCAAUUCCAAUUGAUAUGUACACUUCAUUCAUUUUGUCUUUUACAUAAAUGGAAAAACUAAAAAGCGUAACAAUUAUUAAACACAUGCCCACUGCCCUGCUACCCGGCCAAAGAGGGGCCGUUGCUCUCUUACAAUGGUUCAAUGAAGGCAUUCAUUGAAGGGUGCUUCGACGGGAGCGGUAUUAAGAUGAGUGAUCACUUGAAAAAUCUUUGAAUUGCACCCCUCCUUUUAAACCAACGAGCUCGUGGAUCAGUUGGUAUAGAGUUGUUUUACUAUAACUAAAGUUCUUGGUUUAAGAUUUGAAAAUACAGUUACGUUAAAAUAUUUUUUAAGAGAAUUUUACUGUUCUAGUAGUCAUAUUCGAUUCGAAUUUGGAUUAGUCAGAAUUUAAUAUAAUUUUUUAUUAACAGAUGAUUUAAUACACAAAAAAAAUAAAGGGAUUCAUCUCUCAAUUAUUAAUGAAAAAAAAAUGCGGGAUGUGUAUUUCCGUGUAAAUAAGAACAAUAAUAAUAAUACAACACAUCCCCAUCAAAAACCUAGCUGAUGCUGAUGCUGAUGCUGAUGCUUCUGCAGAUUCUGAUUCCCCCUCCCUUUUAGCCAAGGAAGCAGAUGAUGACAGCAUCACAGUGCAGAAAAGAAAGAAAGAAAGAAUAUCAUUAUACUCCCACAUCUUCUUGAACGUUGUGCCCUCUACAUGCACAUAUGCAUGUACAUAUUAUUAUCAUAUUGUAGUAAGUAAUGUUUUAGCUUUCAACAUAAACAACAUUGUGAUUAAUCAUAAUGCCACAUUAUACAGUUCAAAUAUGAAAGGUUAUGAAAUUAACUUCUAUAUACAAAUGCGUUACAUAAAGUGCGCGACGUCGUUCCUUUUAAUAUAUAUUGUAAAUUAAUGAAUAAUCAUUCGUAAAAAAAAAAAAAAGUAUUGUCCGUUAGUGAAUUAUAUAUACAAGCAGAGCCUCUACAAAUUAACAGGGUGGGACUAUAUAAAAUUUAUUAAUUAAAAGAGAAAUUAAAUAAUCAAUAAUUUAUAUAAUUUAUUAGUUUACAGAAUUAUUUAUAAUUCAAUUAACANNNNNNNNNNNNNNNNNNNNNNNNNNNNNNNNNNNNNNNNNNNNNNNNNNNNNNNNNNNNNNNNNNNNNNNNNNNNNNNNNNNNNNNNNNNNNNNNNNNNCAGAGCCUCUACAAAUUAACAGGGUGGGACUAUAUAAAAUUUAUUAAUUAAAAGAGAAAUUAAAUAAUCAAUAAUUUAUUAAUUUAUUAGUUUACAGAAUUAUUUAUAAUUCAAUUAACAUACAUCAACAAUACUUCAUAAUUUCUUAUUACAAUUUGAAAAGUCAACCGCAGGACUUCUAGGUGUUAAGAAAAAUAAGAGAUUGAGGUCCAAUUAGAUUUAAAUUUUAAGAAAAGAACAGGUAACAAUAUAAUCAUACUUUAUGUAAAUAAGUGAUAAUAGAGUCAUAUUUUAUUCAAUUGAUGGCGAUUUUAUAGCAUGAUUACCUAAAUUUUGACGAAAUAAAUGAACAUUUGUUUGUACCUUGCAGGUAUGUGUCCGUUUAAUAAUAGUAGAAUGUACUUUUUUUCUUUUUUCCUUCUUACGACAAAAGGUUAAGUAGAUUUUGAGGUCCAGUCGUAAAGAGACAACUUGGGUACGUGUGUUUUUUGUAAUGUGUGCAAUUGCUGGCUUUUCCGAUGAUUUUGAUUUGGGAUUGCGUUGUAUAAUUUGCACAAUCAUCUCCUUCACCUUUGGAUUCUGUAUCUCUCUAUUUUGUGCUCUUUCUCUCUGAAUGGUAGCCACAUAUACGACUCUCUUUUCCCUGAAUACAUGAAAUAGGCAUUAGUUAUUUUACAUGAUCAUGUAAGUUACAUAAUUCUUUUAUAGUUAUUAAAUAAAAAUUUAAAAAAUAUAAAAAUAAUAUUAUUUUAUUAUUUUAUAUUUUCACAACUGUUGAAUUUUCAUCAAACGAUUAUGAAAAAAUCAUAUAUUUUAUAUGAUUACCCUUUUUUUAUGAUAACAAUCUCUCGUAAAAUAAUUGAUCACCCUUUUUUUUUAUGAAAAAUUGAUAUCCUUGCUUACACACAUGACAUAUUCUCCUUGGAAGUAAAGAAAAAAUUUCCAUUAUUCUGCAUUGUGCGUCACAGUCCUGACAGCGUUUUAGGCUCUGUAAAUAGCAAGAAAAUAACUUGUUUUCUUAUUUCCUUUUACUAAUUGACAAAAUGAUGAGAAAAAAAAAUGAAAAAUAAGGAAAAAAAAGUUUCUAUUAUAACAAGAAAAUAAAGAUUAAAGUAAAAUACCAUGAUACGUAGAAUUCUCUAAAACGAUAUCUAAAUUGAAAAGUGUAAUAAAUAAUUCGGGGAAGCUUGAAAAAUGUAACAACAAAAUUUGUGACAAAUAAGAAUAAAAAUAAAAGCUUAUUGGAUGGAGCCAAUAAAGUUUAGAAAGUUUUUAUUUCGCUUAAGUUUAUAAUUUAGAGUCACAAGCAACAAGUUCGUAAACAUCAUGAAUUUUUUUAGGAUUGCAAUAAAAAUUGUGAUUGAUAACAACAAAUUUACAAUUAAUAAUUGAUAACAGACAAUGGUUACGUGGGUAUUUUCCAAUUUACGGAGCCUCAAGGGCCAAGGUUGACCUAAUAUUGCCAUAUAAAAAUAUUUUUUUAAAAGAAAAUAAAAUAUAUGAUCUAAAAGAAUGUGUACCAUGAUAUAAUUGAUAAAAUUUUCAUUCUUUCAAGUUCUAAGAGAGUCUAAGAGAAACGUGAAAGGCUUAAAGUGCAUAAUAAUAAUAAUAAAAGGAGAAAUUUUAGAAUACUUCAGAUAUAUUACAACCACCACUUUAAUACAACCACUAUAUUACAACCAAUAUUACAACCACAUAUAUCAUGUCAUUAUUUGUUUGUUGUAUGGCUGACAUGGUACAUCAGAUAUAUUUUAAAAUUUCUCUAAUAAAAGAGACAUGUGAAAGCGAGAGCAAUAAAAAAAAUAAAAUAAAACCUCUAAAUCGGAAACUUUUAAAGAAUAGUGAUGGUUGUCGAAGCCAACAAAAAUAAAUACCUACUCUAAAUAAAUUGUGUAUAGUGAUUGAGCAGGAUCGUGUCCACAUAGAUAGGUAAUUAUUUAAAUCUUUUUAAAACGUAAAACAUAAAAUGAGGGUUUUGUUGACAAAAUAACAAUAAAAUGAGGGUUUUGAUGGGGAUGUGGGGUCCGCCUAUGUUACCACUGUGGUAAGGUACCACACUUUUUGUCUCCAUCCUAAAUUGCCGUUGGAUGUAAACUGAAUGAAUCUAACGGUCGAAAAAGAAAAAUGGGUAAAGGCCUAUUGCCGGUUGUUGAAAGAUAAUUUAAUAAUUAAACUGUGGUAAAAAAAUGUUAAAUAAGCGUCCACCAGAGGCCUUCAUCAAAAGAUUUUUCACACCCCAAUAAGGAAUUAAGAUCAUCAAAAUCGUUUCCUCCCCCAGAAAAUCCGAUAAUUGAAUUCUUUUUCACCCCCAGAAAUGACGAUCAAUUUCCCCUAGAAAUUGCUAUUGUGAAGUUUAAAGUUUUGGUAUCUCCCGAUAAAGGCAGAAACGAUGCAGGUAAAAUUCACGGCGGAUACAUGACAACGGGAACCAACUGGAAAAGAUAUUGGGUGGUUGUGGAAGUUUAGCAAUUAGACACAUCAAUUUGCCUUAGAACAGAGUCAAUUUCUCACGUGCACUUGAUCUAUUGUUGUGCCGCUGGAACGGAGGCAGCAGGUAAUUAAAAAGAAAAAAAAUGUUUAUUUUUGUUUGCAACAGUAUGGCAAUGGUAAUUUGCUUAGGAGUGUCGGUCGUGUUUAUUUGUUAGAAUAAGUGAAGGCGAGAUUAGUAACAAGUACUGCUUGUUUAAUUUGAUUGCAAUAAGCACUACGUUGAAGGAGCGAGCGAGAGGGAAAUAAUUCCUUGGAGAAGAUAUUGUAGAAUGAUUGGGCUAUUAUCUUGCAAUCAACUGUGAAGGUACAUAUUUCUUUCUUUUUGUAAUGGUUAAAUGUAACCAUAUCGGUGAUUCAAUUAACCUUGCUUGGUUAUUAUUUUUAUUUUGUUUUGUUUUUUGUGUUAUCUGCUGCUGGUGGCCAAUUAUAUAUGGAUGACAUUGGGGUUAUGAAUUGUUAAUUUAGUUUUGUGAAUGGGGUGCACGUAGCUGAGGAAAAAAAUGAGUUGCUUGGCUAUAAAAGCAAGCAUGUUCAUGCGCUUUGGGAAUGUACCCCCUUGAAAUGCUUUGUAUACUUGGUAUAAUAGGCUAUAUAUCUGUUGCAGAAAAUGAAUAAAUUUUCAUGUUGACCAUGUUCUUUAUGGGCCAUGAGUUGAUGUUCAUGAUUGUUUUAUAUUGUAGGACUGCUCAGUGGGGUUCUGUUAAGAGAAGGUCAGGCUCUACCAGGUAGUCACCUUAUGGCUCAACAUUUUUUUCAUAAUGUUCCCAUCACAUGAGUCUGUUUGGACAAGUUCUGCCUGUUCAACAUGUAGUGUCUCCGAAGUCUAUCUUACUGUUUGUGUGUGAGGUGUUGCCCUCUCCAUUAGUAGCAAGGAGCCAAGGACAUGGCUGUUUGCAGGUGUUCUUAAAUUAAGCAUGCAUUUAGAACAUGUAAAAUAGAGUGCCUCUCUCAUGGCAUGCAGAGGAAAACACCCAUGAGAAGAAUUUAGCAGUAAACAUAUUAUAAAGGGCAUCUGAUUUUGUUCUUGGAUGAUGAUAUGGUUCUCAGCUGUUUUUAUGAUUAUAUUCAUAAUAGUCUUAAUUCAUUUACAGUAUCCCAUUUUGUCUUCAAAAUGCUUAGAAAGUUUUAUCUUUUGAAGCCUUAAUUGCUUCCUGAUUUGAUGUGUAUACAUACUCCUGGAAUUAACGAACAUUCAGGGCAAGGAUCCUUGACAAUCUCAGGAGCACAACAUAUGGAUUUAGUCCAAGAGUUAGAUACUGUAACCAGGUCCUGCGUGGCUGGACAAUGUGUUGAAAACUUGCACAAUAACAUGGAGAUUGAGGUGAUCACUGAUAUGAAAAGUUUAAUUUUCAUCGAGUUACUUGUUUAAUUUCUUUAACUUUUAUAUUAAUUUUUAGUUACGUUUUAAUUGCACCAACUUCCAAUGAAUUUAAGGAACAAAUUUUGUAGGAGUCGAUGCUACGGCAGAAGCAUUGUGAACCGAUUAAAAAUUUGCCAGCCAUUACUAUUUGUGACCGAAAGUGCUGUUCUUUUGUCAAUCAAGAGUUGCCAUUUAUUAAAAUAUGUCCUGAAAGAGGACGUUAUCGGGUUGGACCAUUUCUUAUGCCUAGCCCUUUUGGUAUUGAAGAGGAAAGUUUGAUUAACUUCUGCAUGGAUGAUGAUCUAAAAAAAGGGUAAGAUUAAUUUGAUAUUGUUAAAGUAAUACAGUUAUGUGCAUUAAUUAAUAUGAACAAUAAUUUCGAGAUUGAAAUACAUACAAUUCUUACUUGUUGAUCGAUUCUGUGGAUGUAUUGAAAGAAACUUCAUAAAUGAUGGUAUUUCUGUGGCAGGGAGAUGCUUUUCCAAACUAACUUCUAUGGGAUUACUAGGAAUGAUAUCAUGUCGCUGUCUCCCAGAAGUAUAAUCAAUAUGAAGGUACAAUCGUAACUUCUAUUAAAACUUGUAUGUCCGGCAAUAUUAUAUAUCGACAGCUUGGCCACUUUAAAUAUAGAGGCAUAUUGUAUUUUUGACUUUGGUAUUUCAAUAAUUAACUUCAUAUGUGCUGUCGAGAAGACAUAAACAUUUAAAUUUCAGGUUGUGUCAGCUGUAUCGGAAUUGCUAUCUGCUCAAACAACUGUAAACGUUGGACAAAGUAAAUUCAACCUUUUUCUGCCUGCUUAUAACACUGUAAGCAAUAUAUUUUAUAAUAUGGCGUUGAUCUUUUGUGUUUAGAAUAGGUUAAAAUACAAGUUGGUGUGUGCUGCACUGUGGUGUAUUUGUUUAAGUGCAAAUGUUGGUGUAUAAAUAUAUCUUUAUCAUUGUAUUUACAAGUUGAGAUGAAACUUGAUUUUGUCAAAUAUGUGGCAUGGUCAAUGUUUGUACUGGAUAGAAGUUUCGGUUGCCAUGUGAUGACACAAACAACCAUUAUGUCAUUUCAGUUGCAGGAUCAUGUUGGUGGCGAGUACAGAGACGCAAGUGCUGCUGUUGGAAAGUUUAUACCCUCUGAUUUGUACGCAAAGAAUAUUCGUUCUUGGGAAAAAGUAAGUGAAAGCAUAUAAUGGUUUUACAAAAGCUAUGUUAAUAUAAACCUUCGUCAUGAAGUAAUUUUUUUUUUUUUUUGUGGCAAUGCAUCAUGCGUUAUAGAUUUUUAUCCCUGUCAAUUGUGGUCAUGGAUGCUGGUACAUGUUGGUUCUAGUAAUUUCUGAAAUGCGAGUAGAGAUAUUGGACCCGCUUCCUACUUCAAUGUGUAUGCAUUAUAAUAUUGCAAUAUGUAAACGACUGGUACGUAUUCUGUGUUAAUUAUUUCAUCAAAUGACUACUAACUUUAUUUAAAAUAGUACACAAGUAAACUUGUUGUCUUGAAAUUUUUGAUGAGGCGAGGUCACGUUGUUUUGGUUUUCUUUAAACUUUUUCACCUAUUGUCUGUUAUUUUACAGCUAAGAUCAAUUGAGAUCAUGUUGGAUCAUGGCGGUUCAAAUGUUAACUCUAGUAGUUUAAAGUUGAUGGAUUUUUCGGUUGACUAUACCCGACAGCCUUGCAUAUGCAGUGAAUAUGAUUGUGCACUGUAUAUAAUUCUGAUGAUGGAGAGGCAUAAUAUGAGGUCAACCCUUAAUGACGCAGAGGUUUAGUGAUUUGAUGUUACCCACAAGAACACAUGUAUCUAAUAAACUUUUUAUUUCACUUGGCAUUGAAACCUUGGGAUAACCUUCUAUUUAAGCUGUGUGUACAUUGUUUUUCCUGAUCAGUUCCAGUCGGAUGCCGAAAGAGCACGAAUUGUCAUCAAACUCAUCACGUGUAGUUUCAACUUUUUGAAGGAUAAGGUUCGCUCAAGUGCUGAGAUGCAUCAAAGGCGAAUCGAUGUGAAAAAAAUGAGAGUUUACUAAAAUUUGAGAAACUGUUUAUAUAAGUAUAUGUAUAAACGAUCGUUCUGAUUGUUCUGAAUUAUGUGGACUCACUCAUUAUUUAUAUGAGAGCGUUAUUAAUUACAUGUAAUUUAGAAAUUCGUAUACAAAUAUUAUCAACCGUAUUUCAUUGUUUUUGUUAAAUUCCCUAUAGGUAAGUAUUUGAUGGGUGCAGGUAAGGUGCGCCUCACAACUUCAACCACUACAUAAUAGAUGCCUACUGACCGCCUUUUGGCACGUCAAUUGUCCUACGGUGACAACUGAUGUACAUAUGGAUGGGCCCACAUAGGCAAUUACUGUUACAAACCGUUGUGAAAGCAUAGGAAUGCGGCACAAGUAGUCAUGGAUUAGGUAAUAAAUAAUUAGGGUGAGAUACGGGAGCACUCCAUCAAGAAAUUUCAAGUGUGACAUGCAUGAUUACAAGGAUAUCUGCAUUUUUUAAUGGGGAAAAAUAAAGUGAAGUAAAUUAUUCAUGCGGAUGUGGGCUGAAUAGUUCUGAAAUAUAGGUUGAGUCCAUGGGUAAGUGCAAUAAUAACGACUAUAACAUUCCCAAAAUUUUAUAUUAAUAACAGCUUAAAAUUUUGCAAUAUAAUAUUUUCUGUUAUAUACAUCUAAUCAUGGGCCACAUAUAGUAUUACAAGGAACAGAUUAAAUAGGUUAGGUAAUAGUAAUAUUUGACAUUAUAGGAAUACUAAUUAUAAGAACGAAAACGAAUUAAAAGUUGUAUGAUUACUUGUAUAAUAUAAUAUGUUUUAAUUUCUUAAUUUGUUAUAAUAUAAUUGUAGAAAUAAAAUCAAAAUAUGUUUUAGGCAUAUGUGAGGGCAUUGUGGCGUCUCCUUCGUUGUUUAUAGAGAGCAAAAUGGUGAAUCCUAAGAAUCAGAGACUGAAAAUAGCGCAGAAAUGUCGAGUUGUACAUAGAUGGCAACCAUAACCUUACAUACAUGUAAAGGAUAAUCAACAGAACAUAUUGGCAUAUCAUUAAUUGAAAGUAUAAUGUUGAUAUACAUUAAUUAGUUGAAUUUCCCUUUAUAUAUAUACACCCACUACAAGAAAUACAAGGUGUUGUGGUUGGUAAAUAUUGACGGAACAAGUGGAAUGCCAUUGACUAAUGAUUGAACAUGGAGGGAAUUGGCUUGCCCUAUUUACAUAUCCACUAAGUUUAACAAUUCAUCCAAUUACUAUAUCUUCUUCGAAAGAAUGUUAUUAAAAUUAGUGUUAUUUUUAAAAUAUAAAACCAAUAUCAAUAUUUGAUUGAGUGCCAUUAGUAUCUUGUAUAAUGGAAAUUUGUUGACAGCUCUUGAAUCCCUGCAUAUCAAUACAUAUAGACUAGAGUUAGGAUGAAAUUCGGUAUACAAAACUAAAAUACAAGUCAUUGCAUGAACAAAUAAAAACAAGAAAAUAAACUAACCUAAGAAAUUUUUCAUUUCACGGCAAGUAUUGAAUUAAUCUCAGCAUUAUGUUUUUGCAUUACUGACAUGCUGCAGUUAAAAUCCAUGCCAAAUGGGUUUAAUGCCGGUAUGUUUACAAAUUGGAAAACCGCACAAGGGAAUUGAGAAGAUUACAAGACUUCAUUGAGAAGAUUAGACCAACUUUCGCAUGCUACCUUGGAAGAGAGGAGAUGAAAAGAUGACGAGAAUUGAGAAGAUUACAAGAUGAAUGGGUUGUACACAGAAUGGAAAGCGUGGAGUAGAAGUGAAACGGUUAUUGUAUAUAAUGAGUACAGAAAAUAAUUUAGCCUAAUAUAGAAGAAUUAACCAUGAAAAGUAUUACAAUUUACCUAAUAAAGAUAACCGAGAUGGCUGAUAAUAUAUCUUUUUAAACAAUUAGAUGAUAUCAAUAUUCGGAAAAAAUUUGAAGAUUAGAAUGGGUAAGAAUAAUCCCUAAAAAUAAAUAAAUUUUUAAUGUUUUAACUAAGUAUUCAAAUUAAACUGGUAAUUAAUAAAACCAUUGAUUCUGUUGUGUAGUUUACUGGAGUGACAACCGACAGCAUCCGAGACUUUCAAUUGUCCCAAACGGUUUGUUUUGGGCUUGGAGAGAUAGUUGUAGUGUUGGCCCCUUAAACGUUGAUUCAACAGUACUAUCAGUUAAAACAAUUUAUUAACCAAUCGAUGCAUAUGGAGAUAUAACUGUCGACCAAGCAAUCUAAACGACCUAUCAUGCUGUACUCGGAACAAGGGGCUUUAAUAUUAAAAUGGAAAUGGGAUUGGUGAAGGAAGCUUCAUAGACUAUUCUAUUUUCUGUAAAAUUGACAUUGACAAGGCUCAUAUGACACCGGAAACAAAGAUUUUGUGUGCACCCGCUGCAUACACAAAAAUAUUUCGCGCCAAAUCAAAUAAUGGUCAACGGACACACUUUAAGCGCGCAAUAAUGAUGAGCAAGGUGGAGAGGAAGUUUCCACCUUGAUCACCCAACUCCAACGCGAAUAUCAAAAAGCAAAGCAUAAAGGGGACAGCACAGUUUAAAUCGCUUAACCCUCUAAACCAUCUUGUUCAAAAUAACGCAGUACUCAGACCAGACAGCAAUCAAACUGUGUCCAGUGAAGAUUCAAGUUAUUGAACGAGGUAAUAGGCUCAAACUUUUGUUUUAAUAUCUGUGCCUUUUGGGAUAUAAUGAAAGCAGUGAAUCAUAUAGGAACUUUAUAAUGCCAAAAUUUUUUAAUUUACUAACAUAAUGAAAAUGUUCAGUAGUUGUAAAAUGUGUUAUCAAGUGCCGCGAUUACACUGACGCAACGUUGUUUGCUGUUCCGACGUUAGCAAUAAAUUUUACGAGCUUUAAUCGUAUCACUCAUGUAACAUUGUGGCACAACCAUUAUAAGUUAACAUCUGUUGGCCAUUAUUCCACAAUGAACAUGAACACAGAUGAAUUUAUUUAUUUUUCCUCGUUCAUGUUCAUUGACAGGAUGUAAUUUGAUAUAUUCUCUAUUUGGUAUUGAUUGUAUGCAAAAUAUGUUUUAUACAAAUGAAACGAACAGGGUGUGAUAUACAGACAAGGAUGGAAGAGGAUAAAGAAUCUGGUGUCGUACAGAGGUCAAGGCAAAUGAGACAGAACUAUAGUGGUCCUACCAACCAAGCUAACAAAACCAAUUGUUCUCCAGAAUAUAUUCGUAGCCGCAGAACUGGAAAUAGACGGGCACGCAAUUUAAAUAGUGAUAGUGGCCAAGCAGAGCUUUCCUUCAAGAACAAACGUGGAAGGAUGAAGGGAAAGAUUGCGAGAGAGCUAUUUCCUGACAGGAAAGAAAGUUACGAAGAAUGCAUGGGUGAAGGACCAACAAGAAUGGUGCGUGAUGCCGUGCAUUGGUCAAAAGGGUGGUUGACGGAUGAUGAAGAAGAACAACUGCAAGACAAAAACAACGACGAAGACCAAUUAGAAGGAUACUCAUCAGAAAUUGACAAGGGUAGUUUGUAUAAACUGAGAGAUGCCGAAACAUCUGAAGAUGUGGGUGACUGGGUCAAAUUUGAUGACACUCCGAGGCAUAAGAUGGUCUUGUAUCAAGGGCAGAGAUUCAGAGAUGUCGGUGAAUUUAGAAAGGCAGUUCAAGUUUUUGCAGUUCGUGAGGGGUUUAAGUUGUGCGUAAUGGAAAAUAGGAGUCACGUCGUAUGCUAUGAGUGUUCCGAUCUUCGCUGCGACUGGGUAAUACAAGCAGGGCGAGUUAGUGACGGAACGACAUUUAUUGUAACAGAUUUCAUGCCACAACAUACAUGCAUUCGACCUCCCCUAAAAUUCCAGCCUCAAUCCAAGUGGAUUUCAGCAAUUUAUCUUCAUAGAUGGAAAUUGCAACCAAAGGUUAGUACAGUAGAGAUAAGGGAUGAGAUUGAAGCAACCUAUGGGGUAGUUUGCCCUGAAGGGAAACUGUUGUCUGCAGCAAACAGAGCAAAGCAUAUUUUGGGCAUGGACCAUUAUGAUGGUUAUGCAAAGUUGAAUCAGUUAAAAAAAGAAAUGGAGAGGAUAGAUAGCCAUAACAUUGUACUGUUGGAGACUGAUGGGGAUGAAAAUGGAGAGGGAAAAAGAUUGAACAAGAUGUUUGUAUGCUGGGAACGGACUUCUUAUGCAUUCAAGUAUCAUUGCCGAGGUAUACUGGCUGUUGAUGGUUGGAAAAUGAAUAACCCGUAUAAAAGUGUGAUGCUAGUGGCAGCUGGACUUGAUGGGAACAAUGGGAUAUUACCUGUUGCAUUUUGCGAAGUUGACGUCGAAGACUUGGAAUCAUGGGUGUAUUUUUUAAAAAAUAUAAACAAUGCCUUGCGUUUGGAGAAUGGUAAAGGUAUAUGCAUUUUGGGUGACGGAGAUAAUGGGAUUGAUUACGCUGUUGAAGAGUUCCUUCCUGAAGCUGCAUACAGACAGUGCUGCCACAAGGUUUUCACUGAAAUGGUUAAGAGAUUCCCUGCAGCGCCAGUGCAACACUUAUUUUGGUCAGCUUGCCGCAGUACAAGUGAAGCAUCCUUCCAUAAAUAUAUGGAUUUGAUACAGCAACAAAGCAAAGAAUGCCAUGAAUGGUUGUUACAAACAAAUUGGUCAAGUUGGGCUCUAUUUUCAAUUCCUAAAUGGGUUAAGUGCACCAGUGUAACACUAUCGAUUACUGACAAACUUCACACUCGCUUACGUCAAUAUUUGGAGAUGAGUAUUGCCAGAAGAUUUACAGGAAUUGCACGCUUGACAGCUGAUUUGUUUGAACGAAGAAGAAUGGCAGUGUGGAAUUGGUAUAGAGAGAAAGUAACGCCGACAGUUCGGGAAGUCAUUCAUGACCGUACAAUUGAUGGUCAGCGCUUUGCAAUGGUUGAGCAAAAUGGCACAACCCUCAAACUAACUGAUACUAUAUCCAUGUUUUAUGACCUCGACAUGGAAGCAAUGUCGUGCAGUUGUGGGUUGUGGCAGAUAUCCGGAAUUCCAUGUGCGCAUGCAUGUAGGGCAAUACAACUGAACAUGGGAAAUGUUGAGGAGUACGUGGAUAAUAUGAUGUCUGUCCAGAACUAUUGUUCAACGUAUGCCCCCGGCAUGGCGCAAUUGCCUAAAGAACAUGAUUGGAAGUCGGACGCAGGUAACAUAAUACUUCCUCCGAUGAUCCAUAGUCCGAAGGCUGUUUCAGCGAAGGGCAGCAACGAGAUUGUGCCGAAUACAAGUCUGCAAAGCAUAGCAAAUUACUCACAUUCUGCCACAAAUAACCAGCAGGUGCAUAUUGUCCUUGAAGUAUAAGUGUGCUUGUAUUGCAAUACAUGUUCCCAAGUUUAAUUUAGGCACAAAAGUUGAACUACGUUCUUACUUGUUGCAGUAUACGCAACAAGAAACUGUUACUCGGUCUGUUGAACAAAGGGAUAGCAUGCAGAUGAUAUCCACGUCCAGCGAUGGUAGUAUAAGUAAGUUUUAAUUUUCUAAUUGCUGAAUAUGCAUUAUUAUUAUACAGGGAUUCAUUUAUAUCCUUGUGCUGGCUUGUUGGUCUUUCCCCAGUUUAUUUUGUUUUACAAGUAACGAUGUUGCAUGCAUGCUUGAACGUAAUGUUGUUGGCUAUUAUGUCGAUUUUUUCCACUAUGAUUGUGCACUGUAACAAUUGGGACUUCUGAGGAAUAUCUAAGUUCUCUCCAUAAGUAAUACAAUUGGAUGGAAUUACUUUGUAAGAAUAGCGUAAUUUGUUAAAAAGUAUUGUUGGUUCAUCAAUUAAUGACAAAGCCCACUUUGUUGCGGGGAUGAGCGAACAUAUUUGUAAGUUAUUUAUUUUCCCUUUCAUAGCUAUCUUAUUUAUCUUCAAGAAAAAGAGACUGAAAGCCUUGUUUUUGUGUGUGUUAUUAUGCAGGCCUGUGAUAACAAUUUGGAUCGGCUGGAUGAAAUCUACAUCGGCCUUUUGCAGUUCAACUCUUUAUGUUUCAUUAUAAUGUUUUGUUAUAUAUGUAAGAUCUAUAAAUUCCCUUUUGUUGAUCUUCGGAUGGAGGAAGCUUUUGAUUCUUUCCUCAAAUGACUGUCUCUUUGGUUUGUUAUAUAUGUAGCAUCUUUAAAUGGCCUUCCGUUUGUCUUCGGAUAGAGGAAGCUUUUGAUUCUUUCCUCAAAUGGCCUUUUGUUUGUCUUCGGAUGGAGGAAGAUUGUGAUUAUUUCGUAGAAUGACUAUCUCUUAAAUUAACUUUUGAUAUCUACCACCAUGGUCAUCCAGUUUGCUCUUACUGCAGUGUGCAUUAACAACCUAUAAACUAACUUUGUCUGUGAACUGCAUGCUUCAUCUUCGAUAUUUUUUGGUGUUAUUACUAAAUAAUGCAAUCCAUUGCUGACAAGAGGUAAUUUAUUACCUUUUUAUACGGCAAUGUUAUUAACAUCCUCCUAUGGCCUUUUACUUCAAUUACCAUUUCCGUUUAAACCAUGUAUUUAUUUAACAUUGACGUAGUAUUUUGCAUUAUACAAGUUCCCAACAUUAUAAUGUAUGCGAAAUGAAAUUAAAUAACAAGAACCCAGUAACAAGUCGCACUUGUUGUCUUGAAGUAUAAUGAGAUGGAAUCAUGUUUGAAGUCGCUAUAAGCAUUUUACCAUCUUUCAAUGUAUAAUACAGGCAGGAGCUUCUUGAAAUAGCAUUCAUCAUGACCAUAACAAAGGCCGACAAGGGCACAACUACAUAAUAUUCAAUAAUCCAACAGCCUACAAAAAUAUCACUUGAACUGUGAUUCAAAAGUUCCCAGUUGUCAGUUGUAUAAAAUAAGAAAGAGAUUCCAUGGAAUCCGUUGAGCUCUUAUGCUAUCUUUUAAACAGAAAUGAAGCUUAUCUUUUAUGUUUGCUAAUGGAAGUAGGAAAUAAUAAAUUCUGCUUGUGUCUCCUUUGGGCAACAUUUGAUUAUGGAGAUUGUCAGCAGUUUGAUGCCGGCAACUCCCGAGUGCAAUACCAUUUCUAUUCCCUACUUUUAGUAAUAUCAAGAUUUAAGCAUCUACUGGUUCUCCAUGUAUAAGUGAAAAAAAAAAAUUGAAUUAAAGUGGAAGAGGUGACCACUGAUAAUUUAUAAAAUACAUGCUGCUGCUAUAACUAAUAAAAUACCAAUUACGUGAAAAAGUCUAUUCAACAAGUAAAAUUGGUAUGUACUCUAUGGCCCAACUCCUUGAGCUCCAUUAUUUAUAAUUGGACUAAAUAACAAUCUUCACUAAAUUCAAUCUUCACGAUACCAAACAUCAUGGGAAUGCUUCUCACAGUUAGUUAAAUAGUUGCUAACGUGCAACUUCUGAAGGAAUCUUCAAGAACGUCUCCAUUCAGAUGAUGACCUGCCAGGGAAAUUACAACGAAAGUUUAAAUGAGGGCAGCUAGGAGGGAAAGAGCUCAAACAAAAUUCUUUUUUUCUUUUUUUUUCGUGGGAAGGAUUUUACUGAAAAAUAAUGCAGCAACACCAUUACAUGAUUAACUAUAAAAACUAUCUUAUUCAUCUGUUUCUCCUCUGCUCUCCAUUUUCGAGCUGGAACAAUCUCAUAAAUCUCCUUGACAGCCUGCCAACCAUUCAGAAACAAAAAAUUUUGAAAUGAGACAGCAUUCAUCUAAUCAGCAGAGGCAACGCCAUUUAUUAGAAUAAAGAAAAAUUUGCAUUCAUCGGUGAUUAAUAGCGCCAAUAACCAAUGAUGAAGAAUUUUCAAUUAAAUCGGAGGCUCCUUCCAACUGAAAUUUGUUUACAUUAAGCUUAACUAAUAUGAUUACAAACUUGAUUUCUACAUAGAUUUUAGAUAGCUCUCCGUUGAUUCUAAGGUAGCUUGCCAUUAAUUUCGGUGAAGAUUUCUUAAUAAUCUUGGGAAUCCAGAUUGUAUUUCGAGAAUUUAUCAAACUUUUUACUUUGCUAUGAAACCAUCCGAAUCUAUCUAUACAUUAAUCGAGAGGUCCCUGAAUACCAUUAACCAUUUCACAAUAAAGCUAACAAUAGGAUUAAAUAAAUUAUUGAAAUUGUUGCCAUUUCUUCUUCCAACUACUACAUGUCUUGUUGCCAGAUUUUAACAAUCCAUAAAAGAGAAACACUGUAAAUGAAUUAAGACUAUUAUGAAUAUAAUCAUAAAAACAGCUGAGAACCAUAUCAUCAUCCAAGAACAAAAUCAGAUGCCCUUUAUAAUAUGUUUACUGCUAAAUUCUUCUCAUGGGUGUUUUCCUCUGCAUGCCAUGAGAGAGGCACUCUAUUUUACAUGUUCUAAAUGCAUGCUUAAUUUAAGAACACCUGCAAACAGCCCUGUCCUUGGCUCCUUGCUACUAAUGGAGAGGGCAACACCUCACACACAAACAGUAAGAUAGACUUCGGAGACACUACAUGUUGAACAGGCAGAACUUGUCCAAACAGACUCAUGUGAUGGGAACAUUAUGAAAAAAAUGUUGAGCCAUAAGGUGACUACCUGGUAGAGCCUGACCUUCUCUUAACAGAACCCCACUGAGCAGUCCUACAAUAUAAAACAAUCAUGAACAUCAACUCAUGGCCCAUAAAGAACAUGGUCAACAUGAAAAUUUAUUCAUUUUCUGCAACAGAUAUAUAGCCUAUUAUACCAAGUAUACAAAGCAUUUCAAGGGGGUACAUUCCCAAAGCGCAUGAACAUGCUUGCUUUUAUAGCCAAGCAACUCAUUUUUUUCCUCAGCUACGUGCACCCCAUUCACAAAACUAAAUUAACAAUUCAUAACCCCAAUGUCAUCCAUAUAUAAUUGGCCACCAGCAGCAGAUAACACAAAAAACAAAACAAAAUAAAAAUAAUAACCAAGCAAGGUUAAUUGAAUCACCGAUAUGGUUACAUUUAACCAUUACAAAAAGAAAGAAAUAUGUACCUUCACAGUUGAUUGCAAGAUAAUAGCCCAAUCAUUCUACAAUAUCUUCUCCAAGGAAUUAUUUCCCUCUCGCUCGCUCCUUCAACGUAGUGCUUAUUGCAAUCAAAUUAAACAAGCAGUACUUGUUACUAAUCUCGCCUUCACUUAUUCUAACAAAUAAACACGACCGACACUCCUAAGCAAAUUACCAUUGCCAUACUGUUGCAAACAAAAAUAAACAUUUUUUUUCUUUUUAAUUACCUGCUGCCUCCGUUCCAGCGGCACAACAAUAGAUCAAGUGCACGUGAGAAAUUGACUCUGUUCUAAGGCAAAUUGAUGUGUCUAAUUGCUAAACUUCCACAACCACCCAAUAUCUUUUCCAGUUGGUUCCCGUUGUCAUGUAUCCGCCGUGAAUUUUACCUGCAUCGUUUCUGCCUUUAUCGGGAGAUACCAAAACUUUAAACUUCACAAUAGCAAUUUCUAGGGGAAAUUGAUCGUCAUUUCUGGGGGUGAAAAAGAAUUCAAUUAUCGGAUUUUCUGGGGGAGGAAACGAUUUUGAUGAUCUUAAUUCCUUAUUGGGGUGUGAAAAAUCUUUUGAUGAAGGCCUCUGGUGGACGCUUAUUUAACAUUUUUUUACCACAGUUUAAUUAUUAAAUUAUCUUUCAACAACCGGCAAUAGGCCUUUACCCAUUUUUCUUUUUCGACCGUUAGAUUCAUUCAGUUUACAUCCAACGGCAAUUUAGGAUGGAGACAAAAAGUGUGGUACCUUACCACAGUGGUAACAUAGGCGGACCCCACAUCCCCAUCAAAAACCUAGCUGAUGCUGAUGCUGAUGCUGAUGCUUCUGCAGAUUCUGAUUCCCCCUCCCUUUUAGCCAAGGAAGCAGAUGAUGACAGCAUCACAGUGCAGAAAAGAAAGAAAGAAAGAAUAUCAUUAUACUCCCACAUCUUCUUGAACGUUGUGCCCUCUACAUGCACAUAUGCAUGUACAUAUUAUUAUCAUAUUGUAGUAAGUAAUGUUUUAGCUUUCAACAUAAACAACAUUGUGAUUAAUCAUAAUGCCACAUUAUACAGUUCAAAUAUGAAAGGUUAUGAAAUUAACUUCUAUAUACAAAUGCGUUACAUAAAGUGCGCGACGUCGUUCCUUUUAAUAUAUAUUGUAAAUUAAUGAAUAAUCAUUCGUAAAAAAAAAAAAAGUAUUGUCCGUUAGUGAAUUAUAUAUACAAGCAGAGCCUCUACAAAUUAACAGGGUGGGACUAUAUAAAAUUUAUUAAUUAAAAGAGAAAUUAAAUAAUCAAUAAUUUAUUAAUUUAUUAGUUUACAGAAUUAUUUAUAAUUCAAUUAACAUACAUCAACAAUACUUCAUAAUUUCUUAUUACAAUUUGAAAAGUCAACCGCAGGACUUCUAGGUGUUAAGAAAAAUAAGAGAUUGAGGUCCAAUUAGAUUUAAAUUUUAAGAAAAGAACAGGUAACAAUAUAAUCAUACUUUAUGUAAAUAAGUGAUAAUAGAGUCAUAUUUUAUUCAAUUGAUGGCGAUUUUAUAGCAUGAUUACCUAAAUUUUGACGAAAUAAAUGAACAUUUGUUUGUACCUUGCAGGUAUGUGUCCGUUUAAUAAUAGUAGAAUGUACUUUUUUUCUUUUUUCCUUCUUACGACAAAAGGUUAAGUAGAUUUUGAGGUCCAGUCGUAAAGAGACAACUUGGGUACGUGUGUUUUUUGUAAUGUGUGCAAUUGCUGGCUUUUCCGAUGAUUUUGAUUUGGGAUUGCGUUGUAUAAUUUGCACAAUCAUCUCCUUCACCUUUGGAUUCUGUAUCUCUCUAUUUUGUGCUCUUUCUCUCUGAAUGGUAGCCACAUAUACGACUCUCUUUUCCCUGAAUACAUGAAAUAGGCAUUAGUUAUUUUACAUGAUCAUGUAAGUUACAUAAUUCUUUUAUAGUUAUUAAAUAAAAAUUUAAAAAAUAUAAAAAUAAUAUUAUUUUAUUAUUUUAUAUUUUCACAACUGUUGAAUUUUCAUCAAACGAUUAUGAAAAAAUCAUAUAUUUUAUAUGAUUACCCUUUUUUUAUGAUAACAAUCUCUCGUAAAAUAAUUGAUCACCCUUUUUUUUUAUGAAAAAUUGAUAUCCUUGCUUACACACAUGACAUAUUCUCCUUGGAAGUAAAGAAAAAAUUUCCAUUAUUCUGCAUUGUGCGUCACAGUCCUGACAGCGUUUUAGGCUCUGUAAAUAGCAAGAAAAUAACUUGUUUUCUUAUUUCCUUUUACUAAUUGACAAAAUGAUGAGAAAAAAAAAUGAAAAAUAAGGAAAAAAAAGUUUCUAUUAUAACAAGAAAAUAAAGAUUAAAGUAAAAUACCAUGAUACGUAGAAUUCUCUAAAACGAUAUCUAAAUUGAAAAGUGUAAUAAAUAAUUCGGGGAAGCUUGAAAAAUGUAACAACAAAAUUUGUGACAAAUAAGAAUAAAAAUAAAAGCUUAUUGGAUGGAGCCAAUAAAGUUUAGAAAGUUUUUAUUUCGCUUAAGUUUAUAAUUUAGAGUCACAAGCAACAAGUUCGUAAACAUCAUGAAUUUUUUUAGGAUUGCAAUAAAAAUUGUGAUUGAUAACAACAAAUUUACAAUUAAUAAUUGAUAACAGACAAUGGUUACGUGGGUAUUUUCCAAUUUACGGAGCCUCAAGGGCCAAGGUUGACCUAAUAUUGCCAUAUAAAAAUAUUUUUUUAAAAGAAAAUAAAAUAUAUGAUCUAAAAGAAUGUGUACCAUGAUAUAAUUGAUAAAAUUUUCAUUCUUUCAAGUUCUAAGAGAGUCUAAGAGAAACGUGAAAGGCUUAAAGUGCAUAAUAAUAAUAAUAAAAGGAGAAAUUUUAGAAUACUUCAGAUAUAUUACAACCACCACUUUAAUACAACCACUAUAUUACAACCAAUAUUACAACCACAUAUAUCAUGUCAUUAUUUGUUUGUUGUAUGGCUGACAUGGUACAUCAGAUAUAUUUUAAAAUUUCUCUAAUAAAAGAGACAUGUGAAAGCGAGAGCAAUAAAAAAAAUAAAAUAAAACCUCUAAAUCGGAAACUUUUAAAGAAUAGUGAUGGUUGUCGAAGCCAACAAAAAUAAAUACCUACUCUAAAUAAAUUGUGUAUAGUGAUUGAGCAGGAUCGUGUCCACAUAGAUAGGUAAUUAUUUAAAUCUUUUUAAAACGUAAAACAUAAAAUGAGGGUUUUGUUGACAAUAAUAAAAAUCAAAUUAAAAUAACAAGAAUGCAAAUUAAAGUUAUAAUUCAAAUUAGAGAAAGCUCUGGUUGAAAGAAUUAACUCAGCUUGAUUCGACUACUGAUCAUUGAUUCAAAUAUAAAUUAUUACUACUUAUGAAUAGAUCGGUUAUAGCUACUGAGACCCUCUAAUAGCCAAUCUCUCUUUAACUAGUUGAUAACCAAGGUACGACCGUUGGUUAUUUCCAUAAUCAAUAGACAACCCUAGAUACAAUCAUAGGAUUUUAUCAAUUGACAGCCUGAAAAACCAGACAGACCCAAAUCCUAAUUAACAAACGCAUACGAUGGUUCAUUUAAAUUAGAUUGUUUAUUCUCAUAACACAACUCACUGCUAUGUUAUUUGUCACAAACAUUAAAAUCUUCAUACGAUGAAUCUUUUAAUUGACAAUAGAUUAAGUUGAUAAUUAAAUAGUGGCCAGUUAUCUAAUUAACAAACAUAAUCAUGAAAAUAAUUCAGAGAAUAAACAAAUACCCAAAAAGUAAUAAAACAAUUAAAGCAUAAGAAAGAUCUCACAGUAGUGAUGAAUCCAAACUUCAUUAACCUUCAACCAGAAUAAUAGAUUUAGUUCUUUAUAGAGAGCAUAGAAAAAUUUAGAUAUAAGGUUUCUUUCUUUUCUCCAAUCCUUUUUUUUUUCACAAUAGAUUCCUCCCUUAAAUACUCUCUCUCUCUUCUCCUCUAGAGUUCUAUUUAAAAUAAAAUACUAAUAUCUUAAAUAUUAAAUUCGUAAUUACAAAAAUAACCAAAAAUACAAAACACGUUAAACUAAAAACUGCAGGUCCGUAGUUGACAGCACGCGCCCACGCCUUAUCAAUAAAGUUCUUCUGACACUCAUUAUUUCUCCAAGAGAACAAUCAUCCUUAAACAUCAUAUUGUAGCUCAAUUUUAGCACCAAUCAAUAGAAUUGCACCUACAAAAGUAAAACACAAGUAAAUCACUAUUAUUAAGUGCAAAACAUCGAUAUUAAAGGAAGCAAACAAUGCAAAACUAGUGCAUAAAUUGCACUCUAACAAAUUCCCCCACACCAAGAUGAUGCUUGUCCUCAAGCAUAUAACUCAAGACUAAUCCCAAAUCUCCGCUCAAUUCUCAUCUCAACUCAUCCAAAAACAAUUUUAAGCAAGCAUACCUCAAGAAAUUAAGUCGAUCAUCAUUCGAGAGACAAGGAUUUUAAAGCAUAGAAUCUCAUAAGAUAGAAUAAGAACAUUCAACCACCAAGAAGAUCCAUUCAAAAUUCAAGUGCAAUAAGAUUUAAUAGCCCUCUCAUUGACUUCACUCCAUUCACUCAAAGUGUUUAGGGUAUCAUUUAUGCACUCAAAUCAAAUCAAAGAAUGCUAUUACCAUAAGUUUGCUCAUAUAUCACAUCUCAAUCCACAAAACAUGAAUAAAAUGCAAAAAUCUAAGGGUUUUAAAAAGGUUGUAAUGUGGUUAAAUAGGUUAACUGAAAAAAGAAAGGUCUACGAAAGAAAAAGAUAUCAAAAUGAGAAGAAUGAACUCAUUGAAUGAACUUAUAAUAUCAAAAUGCUUAUUUCUACUUAAGUCACCAAGAAUGUAAACUUUUUUUUUUCUUUUUUCGAUUUUUUUCUUUUUUUUCUUUUUCUUUUUUUUUUUAAUCAAAAGAAAAGAAACGAACCUUGCACAAUUUAAUUCAAGCAUAAUGUUUGUUGAUCUAAUUGAGAAACUUUAAUACAAGGUAGAAAAAGCAACAAAAUAUAUACAAAAUAUAUCCGUACAAUGAGUCCAAAAAUCUCCUUAAAUUGAGGCUCAAAAAGAAGAAAAAUUGUUAAGUAGACGGAGAGAAUUAGAUGGGUAAUGGUUAAGACUCAAACAAAGAUAGCAAAUAAAAGUCUUCGGGUAGAGAAAAAAAAAAAAGCGAGAAACAAAUGUUUACAUAGAAACAAAUGGCGCGCAGUCGAUUUGUCGAUCUAGGACCACUCUCGUAUACUUGGUGAGAUUCGGCUUCACCAAAUUUGUAGCCUAUAUUUUACUUUAAUGAGAAAAUCAAGUAAUGUUUGAACAUAUAAUUUUCUUUUUUCUAUAUACUUUCUUAAAAUGUAUGGAGUGGGUAAAGUACAAAUUGAUUUUUUAGCCCUUUGACUCCUCCAAAAUUUGAACUCAAUUUAAUGUCAAUUAAAAUAAUGCUACUUGAAAAUCAUUCAACCAAAUAUCGUAAAAACUAUAAUUUUACGAAGUGAAAGUUUCACUGAUUAUUGAAUUAUAGAACAUGCUAUCAUUUCCUAGUUAGAAUUUGUUUAAUUCUAUUAAUUUACAAUCAUUCUUUAUUUUAUUCAAUUAAUUAAAGUGAAUUUGUUUUGUAUAAGUUCUAUAUAUGUAAAAUUUUAAAAUUCAGUGUUGAACUUAAUUGUACUAAACCUUUUAUAAUUUUUUAUCACACCUGCAUGUUUAACAGUCUAGUAUUAAUAUUGAUAGCACAUAAUAUAUAGGAUUAAGAGACACUGAUUUCGGGUGCCACAAGAUUUUUAGGAUUGCAUGCACAAGGGCUUACAAGAUUUUUAGGAUUGCAUGUAGGGGUGGGUGUGGUUCGGUUCGGUUCGAUUUUUAAUUAAAUUUUUCAUAAUCGUUCGAUUACAAUUAUUUUAAAAUCAUAAUCGCGAUUAAUCAAAUUACCGAAAUGAUUAAAUACUCGAUUAAUCAAAAUAAUUCGAUUCGAUUCGGUUCGAUUAUUUUAAUUAUGAGCUUAUUGGAUCUAUUUUGAGUUUUUUUAAAUUUAAAACCUUAAAUAAAUAAAUCUACCACAAACAUAAAAAAAUUAACAAACGAUUUGUUUCUUAGUUAAAAGUUUUUAAUCUUUUACUGCUUUUAUUAUUAUCCCCUUUUUCGUGAUUGUUGGUACAUGUGUCAAAUCAUAGGUGGAAGCUUCUACAAAAUAAAAAUUAACCAAAAAAUCAAUUAAGAUUAUAGUUUAAUUAAGGAUCCAUACAGAGUUAGUUAGCAGAACCAGCUGGAAAAUGUUUUUGUCUGAACCUGUUGCAGAAAAUUAAUAGUUGCUAGCGUUUUUUAUUAAUUAAUUUAGUUAUGAAUAUACAAACUUAAAAAGUCAUGAAUGAGACGUGUUUGAACUUGCUUUAGUUUUCAUCAGUAGUAAAAAUAGCACCAGUAAUUCACAGCACCAGCAUUUAGUUAUGAACUUGCUUUACGUGCUCUGGAAAAUAUCAGUCAUUUUACAAAUGAAAAAGAAAUCAAGAUCUCAUGUUUCACCAUGCUUGGGUUGGUAUCAAACAUAGCAGCACCAAAAAAUCAAACCCACUGAAGGAGAAUUACCAAAUACAAGGUCAGGAUUCCACCAUAUUGGCAAAAUUGACAUUUUGACCGUCAUUAGUAGCAUUAAUUGUCUUGUAGCGUACAGAGCCACACAAAACAUUAAGACUAAAGAAAUCAAAGAUGAAAACAAACACCAUAUCACAUCAAACAUUUUCAAACACGGCUUUAAGAUAUAAAAAUCAUGAUCAAUCUCAACAGUAUCCAGUUUGCGAUUUGGGAAAAGAAACUGAAAAAACCAAUCAUUCAAUCAUCUUUCAGCCAAAGAAACAAACCAUAUCUCACCCAAAUGGGGGAAAAGAAAAAACAAAAGAAUGAAUCAUAAAUCACAAAUCAAUUUUGGUAUACAAAUUAGUAGUCAUGGUUAUAACUAAAUGCAGCAUCUCAAGUGAACGAACCUCAACAAAUAAUGAAACGAAACACGAAACAAUCAGCAGUAGCUCAAGUUAUUGGUUUUUAUUCUCUGCAAAAACAGAACAAACCAGAGAAAUGAGAGACAAAAACAGCAGCGAUAUUUACAUAACUCAAGCACAUUAACAAAAACAUGGGAACGAGGAAAAAGAAAUGAACUUUAAACCAAAUUCAUAAAACCGAAACGAAAAAUGGAACCUUUUUCGUUCGAUUUUUUGUUCUGCUGAGAGAUUUUGUGGACAAAAACAAAAGAACCCAGAAAUGCUAAAGAGGAAGAGAGAGAAAUCAAUACGUGAUCGUAGUGUUAAAAAAAAAAAAAACCUCACAACAGUAGUCAGAUGGCAGCAGGGGAGCACCGUGACAGCAGCAACAAUUGAUAGUAGGUGACAGCGGCAAGUGACAGUGGCAGCAGCAGCAGAUGACAGCGGCUACAGCAGGUGGUAGCGGCGGCGGAGAGUCGUGAAGGACAAGCAGCAGCAGCAGCGGGGACGAGAUUCCAGCGGCUGAAGGUGCUGCGGCUUCGGUUUUCGGCUGAAGAUCAGAAGAAAUGAAGAAUGUGUUUAGUUUAGACUUGAGGGAUUGUUAUUUGACAUUCGGUUUUUUUUAUAUUCGGUUCGGGUUUUCAGUUUUUUUUAACCAAAAACCGAACCGACUGAUUUUACUACUUUUAUUAUAUUACUCAUUCAAUUUUUUGGAUAUAAAAAAACCGCAUAAAUGCUGUAGAAAACUUAAAUUUUAUAGUACUUAGUUAGGUGCAUAUAUAUAUAUCUAUAGGGCUACUAUAGCCAAAGAAACUUACAUGCUCUAGAAAACUUAAAUUUUCAUUGAUGCCACAUAACAUCAAAAGACUUUUCCCAGUAACAUUCGUAAAAGCUAAAAAUGUCUGAUUCGGUAGAGUAAACACCUCUAUGAGUGUAUUUAGGAGGAAUAUAUCAAUAUAACCUCCACAUUUGAAAAUAACCAACACUCUUUCAGUAUCUCUCUAUAUAUAUAUAAUCAGCUUCAGGUCUGGAAUUUAAAUUUGAAAAGAGUCUACAAUGUUGUAAAUUGCAUUUAUCAUUGUUUUACAAUGGUAUAAAUUUAAUUAUAAAUGACUGUCAAAAAUUUAAUAGAUGGUUAUUAUAUAUGAUUAUAAUUAGAACAUUAAAAUUCAAGUCGACUCAUUUAUCUUUACGUUGAUUUUAUUCUUUGUGGUUAUACUUAGAAUAUUAAACAAUUAAGUCGACUGAUUUAUCUUUAUGUUGACCAUUACAGGCCUCUUAAAUAUUUUAUUUACCUAUAUUUUCUUUGAUUUGUUAUUUUGAGUUGUAUGAAAUGUAGCUUUACUCCUGUUUUCUUUACUUUACUUUGGUUUUCUUUAUUGUUGAUAGGAAUUUUCUUGUUAAAACUAUAAGAAUCAUUGAAAUUUCAAAUUCAUACUACAACCAUGAUGAUUUAAUAAAACCUUCAAACUAAAUCCACAUAUUCCAUGAGUAAGAACCCUGAGAUCACAUUUGUUCAAAUUUAUGCUUUAAGUAAAAUAAAAGUAUAAAUGAGAAUUUUAAAGAAGAAAUUUAGUUAUAAAUAAUUGUAAAAUAAUUAAUUGUUCGGCCUUUAUUUUAUAGAUCCCACUGUUGGGACUCCAUGUGAUCUGCUAACUGGCAGGCCUUUUGUGGUUAGGCGAACCACGGUAUGCCUGCCUCAUAUAAGUUUCCUCUCUUCUCAUAGAUAUAACUAGUGCUAUGUCAUGUCCAACAAGGGCUCUUCGAAACUUUUUAUGUGAAUUUUAAACAUUACCCCAUUACGCUUUUGAAACACCAAAACUACCUCUCUUAAAUUUUAAAAAUAUAAAAAAAAAAUACAUAUUAAAAGAAUGUUUUAUGUCUUUAGCUUAACAGUUAGCACGCGUAUUGUACUCUUGACAUUUUUCUUCUGUAAAUCUUCACUUCUUUUUUCUUUGAUUCUUCACACUCCACUGCUCUUUUAUCUCUAAAAAAUUAAAUUGUCCGUAGAAGCUUACUAUUUAAUUUACUGAUCUAAUUAUUUAGCUCUAAAUAUUUAGAUAUGUUUUCUUAAUUAAUUAUCACUUCUUUAAUUUAUUUGGUGAUUUCUCUUAGAUGAAAGAUUUAAGGUUAUGUCCUAGGAAAAUAUUAAUUCUCAUAUUAUAGUGUUGAUAAUGAGGUUAUCCUUGAAUUUUUAACACAUGAAAAGAUAUCGAGGUACCUAUAAAUUCAUUGAAGGAAAUAUUUUAAUAAAUUUAGAUUUUGGUACAUAUUAUUUGUUGAAUUUUUUUUCUUUCCAAAUUGAAAGGAACCCUUAUGAUAUUCAAUUCGUGAUAGUGCCACUAAAUGUGAAGUGUCGAACUAGAUCAUAUUUCUCCCUUAUGCAAACUCCAUCGUUUAUUUAUAUUUCAAUUUUGUGGCCUAUUUUCGAGUUUUCUAGUUUCACAGAGGGCAUCUUGGAUUUCUCUACGCGGUCUAUAGUCUCUAGUCCAAAUGAAGAAAUCGAAUUCACCAUGUACAUUAGUUUUUUUUUUUUUUUGCCCCGGGGGGGGGGGGGGGUGGGGGUGGUGGAAUUUUUUUAUUGGCACAGGAAGAAAGCUCUUCGGCACUACUCGGACGAAGAAUAUGAGCAACACAUGGUCCAAUUCGCAUUGUAUGGAAGUAAAACCGAAGCAUUAGACCAAAAGCAAACCUUAUUCAUAUUUUUAGUUACUGAUAACAAUUUUUUUCCCCUCUUAUUUAUCAUCUUAAUUAAGAAAUAUAGUAAUUCGCUAACUUUUUGGGAAAUUAAAAAGGAUGGCAAUAUACAAUAUUCUUGUGUUGAUGACCUUAAAAGCUAAUCCCCUUGAAACAGGAAAACUGGUAUCGUUUUUCAAAGCACAUAAAUGAUAUAUCCCAGCUUUCAAUGUGAUCGAAAGAUUUCAUAGCCACACUCAAAAUUAAUAAAUGAUCCCUAAGAAUUACGAAAAUGAUAUCAAUGAAAUUACAAACUCUUCAAGAGUUUAUAGAACAUUAAUUGAUCCAAAUCCAAUACAAACUGCUUACUAGUACAGCUUCAAGAGAGCCAUUUAUUUUUUCAGUAGGCAAAUUAAACAACUGCAGCAGUCACUAGCGAGCUAGUAUAGACCAAUUGUUCAUCUACCAACCAAUUGUGAAAUUGUUACAUCAUUACUUGAACAAAUUUCCAAUCCAAUCGUGGCUUUCCUUUGUUCAUCUUCGUAAGCUUGCUUUGAGAAAGUUGCAGGCUUCUUUGGAGUCACUAUAUCAGCCGUGCUCUCAUUUUCGAGCAUCGAAGAAACUUCCAGCAUAGAAGGUCUAUCGUCUGGGUUCUCCUGAACACACAACAGAGCUAUUUGCAGACAUGUUAGCAAUUUCCACGAGGAAUGCGUAUCAUCUAGUGAUGUAUCCAUUAACCCCAUGCCUUUCCCAUCUUUCCACAGCUCAUAAGCCUGUAAAUAUCGAAUAUUUUAUUGAGUUACAUUCAAUUAAUUAGCACUAUAAAGUUUUGAUCCAGUGUGCAUUAUAAAGGGGGUUAUGAAGAAACUUACAUACUGUACAAGGCUUAAAUUUUCAUUCUGACCAGAUUGAACGAACAAUCUUCUUCCACUUAUAAUUUGCAAAAGUAAAACCCCAAAACUGUAGACAUCAGAUUUGGUGGAGUAGAUGCCUCUCGUCACAUACUCAGGAGGGAUAUAGCCACUGUUGUACCAAGUAAUUACAAAUAUCAGUGAAAUUGUUUGACCUAAAAGGUUAAGCUGAUUGGUAAAGGCUCAAUAAUAGUAUUAAAGACAAGCCGAAAAAUAGACGUAUGUACACUUACUGUGUUCCAACAAUUCGACUAGUGUUUGCUUCAAGGUCGUCUUUCACAAAAAUUCUAGCUAAGCCAAAAUCUGAUAUUUUAGGCUUCAUAUUUUCAUCCAAUAAAACAUUACUAGCUUUCAAGUCUCGAUGAAUAAUUGUUAAUCUAGAAUAUUCUUGAAGAUAAAGAAGCCCUUGAGUUAUUCCUUGAAUGAUAUGAAUGCGUUUUUUCCAAUCCAAAAUAAACCUUCGGAUGGGAUCUACAUCAAAUAUAAGUAUAGUUGGACGGUCAGUAGCACUAGCAUUUGGAGAUGAGAAAUCAAAUGGAGGCACAUAAAUUAAGAAUUAAGCAGAAGCACAUACCAAAAAGGAAAUAGUCCAAGCUUCGUUUUGGCAUGUACUCGUAGAUCAGCAUUUGUUCUUCUCUGUCAAUGCAAAAACCUAAAACCCUAAUAAGAUUUACAUGUUGGAGUUUUGCAGUAAGCAUAACCUCAUUUUUGAACUCCUCAAAUCCUUGUUUGGAUGUCUUUGAGAGUUUCUUUACUGCUAUUACCUGUCCAUCAGGCAAUACACCCUGCAAACACCCCCAAAACAUUAAAGAGGAAAAAAAAAUGCAAUGUUCAUAUACAUAUGUGUGUGUGUAUUUCGCUAAUUAGUUAAUAAGAUGAGAGAUAGCCAAGCUAUCGAUAUAUAACCUUGUAAACAGGGCCAUAUCCACCCUCCCCGAGCUUAUUUUCAAUUGAAAAUCUAUCCGUGGCCACCUCAAUAUCAGCCAAGCUAUAUUCUCUAAGAUCAGGAUCAUUGCUGUUAAAAUCUCCAGCAUGUGCUUGACUGUUUGCUCCGUCCUUUGAUGACUUGGCUGAGUCAAUUACUAUCCCAAUUAAUAUCAACCAAGGAAAAAAAAAAAAGAAAAAAGCUAAUUUAAGUAAAUUGCCCACUUCUUCAACUGCGCUAAAUAGAAUAGAAGUAAAAAUAAUCCUAAACCCGUGUAGAAAAAGUUACCUUUUAAUUUGAGGUUUUUCAUCCAGCAGUAGUAAUAUAGCCAAAAACCUAGUAGAAGAAUACAAGCUGCAGUUGUAGGCAAAACAACUACCCAUAAUAGUCGCUUAUUUUGACCAUUCUUGUCAUCCUCUUCAGCUGAAAAGUCAAAUCACUUUGCGUUGGUUAACCAUUGAUGCUGAAUAAAGAUCUUAAUUCAAGUCAUUAUCCAGAAAAGUGGUCAAACGGAUUGCAGUGAGUGCGGAAUUCUAUUUGCUUACCUGCAGCUUGAGAAAGCAUCCAAUCAUGAUCAUAGGCAACUUUCCACACAAAGUAACCACGUAACUUCUUCUCCUUAGCAUAUGCAACCUUCAUUCUAACGGCCUCGACAUCAUCAAAACCAAACCAAAUCUUCCCAAUCGAGCAGUAAUUCAUCACAUAAGUUGAAUUGUACAUAACUGGAACAUUAGGACCAUAGCUCUUGAUGUAAUUCUUGAUUUCCUUAUAAGUCACAAAGCCGAUAUCACUCAAAGCUGGUCCUGUUGCUGCUGCACCAAUACCAUUGUCCUCAGGUUUCACAAGCGUCCAUGCAUAGCCAUAGCAAGGCAAACCCAAAACCAACUUGUCAGCCGAUAAUCCUUCAUCGGUCCAUGCCGUGAUUCCGUAUUCAGUAUUAAAGACACUAUUUGGAUCAUACAGAGCCGCAGGAGCACUAGUAUGAUUUGUCCACAUAGGGCGUGAGUAUUCAGCAGUGAUAACAUGAACCCAAUUCAAGUAUUGUCUUAUCGAGUCGAUUGAAUAAGCUCCUAUUGUUGAGUAUGGUGAAUAAGCGACCCUUGCCGUCAAAAUCAACUGUGAUUGGCUCGAGUUAUUUCUUGCUUCUAAAGCUACGGCAGCUCGCCACUCUUUAAAGAGAAUACCAAUAUUGUAAUUAUCCCAACUUGUGUUUGCCCAAGACCAUGAUAAAUCUAAACCUUGAAAGCCAUAAAGUCUUGCUAUUUUUAUUGAGGAGUCAAUGAAGGAUUUCCUGGAAGAAGGAUUGCUGGCCAUGGAAGAAUAAGUUGAAUAGUUUGGAUUCUUUCCUCCUCCGAUGGAAAGAAGUGUAGUGAUUGAUGGGUUCUUUUUUUUUACAGCGUCUGUGAAGUUGGAGAAUUGUUUUUCAUCAGAAGGUGAGAAAGAGAGCUCGUAGGAAGUUGAGUUGACAUCAGCAAAACCACACAUAAGGUGAGUGAAGAGAGCAGAAUUUACAUCUGAAAUGAAGAACUCAUCGCCUGAAUCCCAGUAACCAGCUCUGAUUAAAGUUUGUGCUCUUGUAGGAAGCGAUUCUGAAAAUAUAAAAAUGUGGAGGACAAGAAUGAUAAUUUUGGAUGCCAUUGUGGGAACCUGGCUGCUGGAGGCAUACCUAGUAUGUCAUUAUAUAUGUAAUAUCCUAGGCAAAUCCCACAUCGGCAAAAUAUGGGUGAGAUGAUGGGUUUAUAAGGGGUGAUUCACACUUUAAUUGGCAAGACGCGUUUUGGGGGGUAUGGGCACCCAGAAACAAAACCGUAAAGCGGAUAAUAUCCUGUCAUGUUUGGGUUGGAUCAUGACACUAUGGUAUCAGAGCGGCUCCGCAUGUCCUCUUGAGCGAUGGUGGGGCAAACCUCAGCGAAUCAGAGCGGCUCCACGUGUCCUCUUGAGCGAUGGUGGGACAAACGUCCUCGCUCGUUGAGUCCCCAAGGGGGGUGAAUGUAACACCCUAGACAAAUCCCACAUCGGCAAAACACGGGAGAGAUGCUGGGUUUAUAAAGAGUGACUACACUUUAAUUGGCAAGACACGUUUUGGGGUGUAUGGAUGCCCCAGAAACAAACCUGUGCGGACCUUCUAAAGGCCCAAAGCGGAAGACACGUUUUGGAAUGUAUGGGCGCCCCAGAAACAAACCUGUGCGGGCCUUAAGAAGGCCCAAAGCGGAAGACACAUUUUAGGGUGUAUGGGCCCCCCAAAAACAAACUUGUACAUGCCUUCUUAAGGUGCAAAGCGGACAAUAUCUUACUAGGUUUAGGUUAGGUCAUGACAUUAUUACAUUAUGGUAUCAAAGCGGCUCUGCAUGUCCUCUUGAGCGAUGGUGAGGCAAACCUCAGCGAGGAAGCUGAGUCCCUAAGGGGGUGUAUGUAACACCCUAGGCAAAUCCCACAGGGGGUGUAUGUAACACAUUAGGCAAAUCCCACAUCGACAAAGCACGGGAGAGAUGUUAGGUUUAUAAGGAGUGAUCCACACCUUAAUUGGCAAGACAUGUUUUGAGGUGUAUGAGCGCCUCAGGAACAAAACCGUGCGGGUCUUAUUAAGGCUCAAAACGGACAAUAUCUUGUCCAGUCUGAGUUGAGUCAUGACAAUAAAUAUGUACACACACAAAAUAUAAUGAAGAAAUUAUCUUAUACCGAUUGAGAUUAGUUAUUGCACUAAUAAUACAAACUUGAGUCAACUUUCAACUUAUGAGCUUAGUCCAUAAGUUUUUAUACGAUAUCAAAAUCAAGUUACGGAUGAGGGACCCUAUAAUACCUUCCAACCUAACUUAAUAAUUAAUCUUAGCCAAUGUGACAUACUUUUUCUAUCACUUUAUCACGUCCAAGUUGAUCUUUUAGCUUUGUCUUUUUUUCAUGAUAAUAAGUGAUAAGAUUGAAGUUCUUAAAUUAAGCUAUGACUUUUUACCUCCGCUUAGCUUGACUUCUGAAGUUGGAGACUCGUUCUUUUGUAUUGAGUUUGUUGGUAUUUAAAUGAACUCGGAGUCUUCCACGUGUUUCUGAAGCAAAGUCAUUAUUCCUCUAUGACUCCAUCCAUGCAGUUGGAAGGCAAAAUCUUGUGAAAAUAUUUUCUAAGUUGAUUCAGUCCAUGAUCAAUGUGCACAAAACGCAAAAUCUUGCGAAAAUCAAACCCGUCCUCACUUAUGAGCUCGAUUUCUAGCUUAAACUCCUCCUUACUCAUGACAUACUAUAUAAAAUAUCGAGUUGAACUCACUUUAUUAAAUUACAGCUUGUUAUUGAAUUGAGUGUUGCCUUAAUUAAGCUAUCAACUUAAUAAAGUGAUUGUCAUUAAGAAAUACACUUAGGUAUCGUUUACUUUUUGGAUUGGAGUGGGAAUUCUGAUAAAUGUGAAUCCUAGGAUUAGGAGUGUGGAGUGGGAGUGGGAGUAAGUUGUUUACUUACACUGGAAUGAAAGUAUGGAAUGAAGAUUAGAAUCCAAUUUAUGUGUUUACUUUGUCUUGGAUUGGGAGUAAAUAGUUUCAAAUUACAAUUUUAUCCUUAUUUAAAGAAUUAUAGUUUUUAAUUACAAAGUUAAUAAAAAAUAUAUUUAAUGAAUAAACAUUUAUUUUAUUAUAUUUGUAAAUUUAUAAUAAUUAUUAAUAUUCUUAAUUAUGUACAUCACAUUUUUUUAUAAUUUUAAUUAUAUAAAUUAAAAAUUAUUGAUAAGGGCAAUAUAAAUUAAACAUUUUUACUAUUAACAUAGUACGCAAUUAAUAUUUUCUUAGAAUAAACUAUUUAUUAGUAUUAAUUAUUAAUAUUAAAUAAAUAUAAUACUAUUAUGUUUAAAUAAAUAUAAUCAUAUUAUAUUUUCAAAUAAAGAUGGUAUAUAGUAAUAUUAUUAAUUCUCUAUCUAUAUAAUAAUAUUAUUUUUAAGUAAUUUAAACUUAAAAUCAAACCAAAUUAUUAUUUAGUUAAAUAUAAUAUUAUUAUUUAAAUAUAAUUAGAGUAAAUUUAAUAAAAGGAGGGUAAAAAAGAAGGGUAAAUAUAAAAUGAAACAUUAUUUUAUUUUAUUUUAUUAUAGUAAAUUUAAAUAUUAUUAUAUUAAAUUUAUUAUUAUAUAAAACAAUAAUAUAAUAUUAUUUAGUACAAAAUUAAUAUUUUAUUAGAAUAUAAAUGAAGAUAGCAUAUAAUAAUAUUUAUUAAUUCUCUAUUAAUAUAAUAAUAUUAUUUUUAAGUAAUUUUAACUUAGAAUUAAUGCAAAUUAUUAUUUAGUUAAAUAUAAUAAUAUUAUUCAAAUAAAUAUAAUAUUAUUUAUUUUAUUAAAUAUUAAAUAUUAAAUUAAAUAAGAAAAAGGGUAGAAAAGGGAGAGGUGGGAGUGGAUUCCCACUCCCACUCCCCACUCCAAAAAUGGGUGAGGUCCACCAAGUGAAAUUCUCAAUCCUUUCUCAAAUUAUUGAAGUAAAUACUGGAGUGGGAGGAAUCCACACUCCUCACUCCUACUCCAGAAAGUAAACACAGCCUUAGUUACUUCCUGAUGGUAAGAUUCAAUAAUAUUGUAAUUUUUAUAAAAAAAAAUUAAGACUCAUAUACCUUUUCCUUGUGUAAUUUAAUUUCCAGUCAAGUCCACCCUCCCGUUUUAUUAUAAAAGUCUAUACGAACAUACGUUUUACUCAAUGUUUACUUAGAAACAAAUGGCGCGCGUACGAUUGCCGAUCUAGUACCACUCUCGUAUACUUGGUGGGAUUCGGUUUCACCAAAUUUGUAGCAUAUAUUUUACUUUAAUGAGAAAAUCAAAUAAUGAUUGAACAAAUAAAUUUUCUUUUCUAUAUACUUUCUUAAAAUGUAUGGAGUUGGUAAAGUGCAAAUUCAUUUUUUAGCCCUUUGACUCCUCCAAAAUCCAAACUCAAAUUAAUGGUCAGUUAAAUAAUGUUACUUGAAAAUCAUUCGGCCAAAUAUUUAAAAACUAUCAUUUCACAAAGUCAAAGUUUCACUGGUUAUUGAAUUAUAGAAUGUGCUAUCAUUUCCUAGCUAGAAUUUGUUUAAUUCUAUUAAUUUACAAUCGUUUUUCAUUUUACUUAAUUAAUUAAAGUGAAUUUAUUAUGUAUACAUUCUACGUACGUAAAAUUUUAAAAUUCAGUGUUGAAUUGAAUUGUACUAAAUUUUUUUAUAAUUUUUUGUCGGACCUACGUUUUUAACAGUUUAAUAUUAAUAUUGAUAGCACAUAAUAAACAGGAUUAAGAGAGAUUGAUUUCGAGUGCUACAAGAAUUUUAGGAUCGCAUGCACAAGGGUUUAAAAACAAAGUGUGCACUUAAUAAAAACUGUGUACAUGGUUCUAAAAGUGGCUCCAUAAUUAGUGUACAUUAACAUUCAUCUAGCUACCACUUCCGAAAAUGAUAAAUCACAAGCCGAACAUUUUUCCAAUUGUGUUGUAGAUAAUAGUUCAAUCCCAAUUUCAUCAACUUGUUUUGAGAAAGCAGGCUUCUUGGGAGUAUUUGUAUUUGUGGUUUCAUUCUUGAGCAUUGAGGAAACUUGUAACAUUGAAGGUCUAUCGUUUGGAUUCUCCUGGACACACAACAAAGCUAUUUCCAGACAUCUCAUUAAUUUACAAGGGGAAUUUGUAUCAUCUAGUGAUGAAUCCACAAACUCCACGCCUUUGCCACCUUUCCACAACUCAUAUGCCUGAAAUUAUCAAGUACCAUUUUGUUACAUAAUUUAUACUUCUUAAUUAAGUGCGCAUAUGUGUACUCAGGGUUACUAUAGCCGAAGAAACUUACGUGCUCUAGAAUGCUUAAAUUUUCAUUGAUGCCACAUAACAUUGAAAGCCUCUUUCCACUUAUAAUUUGUAGAAGUAAAACUCCGAAACUAAAAACGUCUGAUUUGGUAGAGUAUACACCUUGUCUGGCGUACUCAGGAGGAAUAUAGCCGCUGCAUUCAAAAUAACCAACAAUAAGUAAGUAUAUAUAAAUAAGGGAUUUCACAAUUUAAUAAAUUUGUAAAACCCAUUUUAAAUUGUGGUAAAAGUCCAUUAUGCAUUUUAUUAAAGAGCUGAAUUCUUUAUUCGAAACCUAUAUUUAUAUAUAUAUAUAUAUAUAUAUAUGCACACACAUGUAUAUACACAUAGGCAUAUCAAGUAAACACAUCAUAUAUGUAUUAAAAUUCUGUGUUAGCUUGGUCCUCAUAUACAUACAAACGUAUAUAACAAACAGAAGCUUGAGUAAAGGAUAUCAUUUAGAUGUAAUAUACUUACAUUGUUCCCACAACUUGUUCUGUAUUCGCUUCGAGACUCUCUUUUGCAAAAAUCCUAGCCAAACCAAAAUCUGAAAUUUUAGGUUUCAUAUCUUCGCCUAACAAAAUAUUACUGGCUUUUAAGUCUCGAUGAAUAAUAGUCAGUCUUGAAUAUUCCUGGAGGUAUAAAAGCCCUUGAGUUAUCCCUUCAAUGAUAUGAACACGUUUUUUCCAAUCCAAAAUAAGUCUUCGGAUGGGAUCUACAACAAAUAUAUAGUUUUGGACAAUAAGUGAUAUGCAAAUGAAUUUUAUACACGAUUAAUAUUAACUUGAUUUCAGAACAAACCAAAAAGGUAGCAAUCCAAGCUUUUGUUUGGCAUGUACUCGUAAACUAGCAUCCGUUCCUCACUGUCAAUGCAAAAACCUAAAACUCUGAUAAGAUUUACAUGU